UAUAAAACUUAAAAUUUUGACCCAAAGUAUAAGCAAAAUGGUUUAUAUCCUUUAUUUGCUCAAUCUAUUUUUUAUUCUUUUAAUUUAUCUUUCAACUAUUCCAUAAAAACCGAGUAAUUAAAAUGGGCCUUUACUGACAUAAAAUGGGACCAAUAUUAACUUUUUCUUUUUUUCGUGUUUGUCGUUGUUCAAUUAUUUUUAGCGGUAGUUGGAGUGGUCAAAUCAAGAUUGGUAGGUGGUUUAGUCGCAACAUCCAUCACUAAAAUUUCUGCAUUAUCAUCUCCGAUAUGAGAUUUUAUACCGGAAAAUAAGAUUGAAUAUGGAAAAACAUACCAGUAUAAGACCUUUGAUGGUUUGAUCACUGUAGUUAUGAGGCUCUUUUUCUUGAGAAUCAAGUAAAUGAGCAAUCAUGGUGUUCUUAAACUCCAAUCUGUCUUUGUUAGCUCUAUGCUCAUCCAAAAACCCUUGUAAUAAACUAUCCAUCCUUUCUCCAAUCCUCUUUGCUCUCUUGACCAAACCUUUGUAGUCAAACCACCGUAGAGCCGGCAAAAAAUCAGCUGGAUUGUCCGCCGCAGAGAGCUCUAGAAUCUCCGCCACUAGUUCCCGGAACUCCAAACUUAUCCCCGCCUUUCCGCCAUCAUCUUCCUCGAAGAAUCUCUUUCCGGUCAUCAUUCUCAUUAUCACAUUUAGGGUAAGACCCGUUAGUAACUGUCGUAACUCCACCUAGAUAACAAAAAAUUAAAAUGAAGUUCUUAUUUUGUUAUGAUUUGAUAUUAACUGGUUUACGAGCCAUUAUCACAUUUUGUUAUUAUGUAACCUAAGAUACAUUAAAAAAAAAAAAAAAAACUAAGAGACGUUUAAGGAUAGAUAGUACUUUCUAGUUUCUAUAAUUUGAUAUUGAUAGCAACGGAAAGAAGAUGAACUGUUUGAUCCACUUACUAAAUCGAGCAAAUUUAGUUCUAUCAUGUAUCCAUAUGUAAUCAACGAUUUUUAACAAGGUUAAAGCUUUUAAAAUAAAAAAAUAAAAAAUCAUUGUUUAUCAAUUCAUGGAUUCUAUGUAGUUAUUUUUUUCUUAAAAUAUUAUUAAUUACCUGAAUUUCAUGUUUUCUCAAAAUUUUAUUCGUAGUGUAAGCUAUUUAUUGUCUUAAAUUUGACAAUCUAUAAAAAAAUAUAAACAAAAAAUGCAACGUGAAAACAUAUGAUUAUAUAACGGCAGUUGAAUUUGUUUUCCAGUUAAUUUUCUCAUACCUAUAUAAGUAUAAAAUAUCAUAUACAUAUUGUGUGGUUUAAACAUUUCAAUGAAUUAAAUAUAAUAUAAGAUUUUAAGGUAUGAUGAACCUACUUUAGCCGGGCGUUCGACAGAUAAAUCGUGAAGCUUUUGGAGAAGCAUCUUAACUUCGUCAUGUCGGAUUUCCGCUGAAGCGUUGAGUCGAUUUGUGGAGAAGACUUCUAAAGCGGUGAUACGACGGAGGUUUCGCCAGUGGUCACCGUAAGGAGCCGUAACCAUGGAGGUGUAGUCAUAAGCCACAUACUUGCCCAUGAUGAAACGAGGCCGAUUUGCUAAAACGAUGUCGUUUUUCGUCAAGAAGCAUUCUUCGGCUGCCGUUGGAGAUGAGAUGAUAACGGCAAGGCGAGAGCCGAGGCGUAGAGAAAAGACGGGGCCGAGGGAGUGGGAGAGAUGGCUGAGAGUCCGGUGUAGCAGUGGCUUUUUGAGGAGGUGAAGGUGUCCGAUGAUCGGAAAACAUAUAUUUGGCGACGGUGGAAGGUUUUUGUUAGGUUUAGUGACUAGGAGAACAAUCUUGACGAUGAAAAUGGCAACAAGAGUAGUCAGAAUAAGUAAAAUACAAUCCAUAUAUAACUCCUUUUCUCUUCUUUUUUUCUCUAACUUUGUGUAUAUUUUGGUUUCUCCUCCGUGCGCUAUUAAAUAAUAUAGUAUAAGAUACUGAUUUUUAAACACUCUUUAAUUCAUGCAUUUACAAAGUCAAAUAACAAAAUAGUGCAUACAAUAGUGAUAAAAUUAGCGUACUAAUUUGGAAAAACAAGCACCAAUUUUCUUUUCUUUUAUUUCUUUUGUUUUUGUAAAAUAAGGAAAAUUCCUAUAAGACAAGUAAACAAUGAAUUUGACAAACAAACAGAAAAAUCAUACUACAUUGGAGUGUCGUGAACAAGUCUAAUGUAUAACCACUUAUGUCUCUUUCAUUUGAUCAAUCCAAAAGGUUUUGUUGAAAGUUCUCGAUAAGAUAAAAAUUCAAUCGAAAUUCUUAGAUUUCCAUCCAUUAUUGUCUUUACAAUAAUAUUGCUUGGUUGACAUUUUCUACAACUAUAAUCAUCAAAACGUGGCAGAUUCGGUACCAACACUAACAUGAAAUCCAAACUUUUCGUUUUUAACAACAGUCCUUUUAUUAAAAAAAAAAUAUUAUACUUUUAGCUUAUGCUGAAUUACUAGUUCAGACAGUGAAGAACAUAUGUAUACAGAUUUGUUAAUGGGUAUUUAAUUUAAAAUGCAGAGAAAGACAACAUUUUGACGAGGCCCAACACAUGCCCACUACAUGACCAAGUCACCAAACCAAUUCUAAAUUUCAAGAAACCAACAUUGGAGAGAUGGAAACAGUGAAAUUUUGGUUCUGUUGAACUUUCUAUAGAAGCCGUGACAUUGCUCUGCAUCCAACUAAUUGACCACAGAAUACUUUUAUUUUCCAUGAACACGUGGAAUGUAAGAAACUAUAUAGGUUUCUACACAAUAGAUCCUACAUACGUCAAUUAUAUCGUUUUACCAACAAUGGCACGUGCCUUGCACAUAGCUCGCAACGGAGUAGCUUUAGGCAUAGUGAUCCCUUCGCCUUCAGUCAUGUCCACAAGUUCUGCACCAACUCUCUCCCACUCGAAAGACUGAAUCAAGCACCCAAGAGCAAGGCUCACUAACCGCUUCCCAAGCUCAGCUCCAGGACAAGCUCGUCGUCCCAUCCCAAACGGCAUUAGCUUUCGAGCCUCUCCUUCUUUCUCGAACCUCUCCGGCUUGAACCUCUCUGGCUCUUCCCAUAAACCUGGAUCUCUAUGCAUCGCCCAUACGUUUGUUAAUAACAACGUGCGACGUGGCAUAUCGUAGCCCGCCACUUUACAUUCAUCCGAUGAGAAAUGAGGGAGUAGUAGUGGAACCGCAGGAUACAAACGUAAUGUUUCUGACACAAUGUUUUGGAGAUAAUGGAGAUUUACAAUAUCUGAUUCUUCAACUAACCGGUCUGAACCGAUUUUAUCAUCGAUCUCCGCUCUCGCUUUCUCAAGUAUCUCUGGAUGGUUCAGCAAAUUUGACAUUGCCCAUUCCAACGUCACUGAAGAUGUAUCUGUCCCCGCAAGAACCAAAGCCUGUGUAUAUAUAUAUCUCUAAUAAGUAAACCCACUCCACAUAUAAGGAGGAUAAUAUUAGUUAAUAAGAACUUACCAGUAUGAUUCCUUUGAUGAUGACAUCAGUAUAGUACUCGGGUUCGGUUUCUUGGAAAGAAAGCAAAUGAUCGAUCAAAGUUUGACCCUUUUCUUUCUCUGCACGUUUCUCAUCAACCAGUUUUUGCAGGACUCUAUCGAGUCGAUUCCCCAAGAUUUUGGUCUGGUUCUCAAAGUUUGUGACCCAAUUUAUGGACGGAAGAUAAUCAGCCAAAUUUCCAGAACCGGCGCCGGCCAUUAUCUCCGCUAUAAGUUCCCUCACGAGCUUGGCUUCAUCAUUGUCUUCUGUACCGGUACCGUAAUAUCGUUUUCCGGCUACCAUCAUGAUGAUGUUGUUGAAUGCCAAGUUGGUUAAUAACGAUUUCAACUCCACUUCAACAAAUCCCUGCAGUGGGACGAUUACUAGUCAAGUUUAUUACAUUGUGUAAUUUUUAAUAGAUCUAUAUCAAAGGUGUAUAGUUCAGUUCCAUCUAUGACGACUGAGAGCUUUUAUUUUAUUUUCUGUCGUGACAAAUUUGAUGCAUACAAGUAACCUAACUGAUAAAUAUAUUAUUUUCCAGCCAAUAAGCGACAAAUAAUUAAAUAUGCGUGUUAAUAUAAUAAAGAAGGGCGGCUUGAAAGUGGAAAAUCCUACUCACAUGGACAAAUUCAACCGCAAUAGUCGAUAAAUAAAAAUUUUGAUUUUUGAUAUUUUGUUUUUUGGUAAAUUUUAGUAAUGCCAAAGUAAAUAAAAGAUAAAUAAUGAGUUAAAUAAGAAGGUGGUUACGUACGUGCAAGGAGUCUCUAGAGAGAUGUGUUAUGAGCCGUCGGAUCUCGUCUUUACGGAUAGAAGAAAAGGUACUGAUUCUAUGAGAAGAAAAUAUCUCGACGGCGGCGAUGCGGCGGAGAUUCCUCCAGUGGUCGCCGUAAGAUGCUGCAAUCAUAUUGGUAAAGUUAUAGCCGACGUGUUUGGCCAUGAUGAUAUCAGGACGGUUCGCAAGAACGACGUCGUUUUUGGUGAAACAUUCUUCGGCUAUGGAGUGUGAGGAGAUGACGUAAACGAGGCGGUUUCCCAGGCGGAGGUGGAAGAUUGGAGCAUUUCCAAGGGACUUAGAGAUGGAGUGGAAUGUUCGGUGGACCGGUUGCUUGAGGAGGUGGAGGUGGCCGAUAACCGGUAAAGGGUAAGCCGGAGAAGGAGGAAGAUUAGGUUUCCGGUUAGAUUUUGUGAGCAAGAGUUUGAUGGAGAUAGUGAGAAAGAGAAAGGAGAGGAGUAGGAUUUGGGUGAGGUCCAUUUUCUUGUUGAUUGCUUCUUUUGUUUUUGGGUUUUUCUUUCUUUUUGUGUAAAGUUGUGUCGUGUGUGGGAUCGAGAUGGACCAGAUGGGUACUUUGUGGCCUUUAAAACACGAAAAUUAAUUGACUGAAAACUAAAGAGACUUGAAUUUUUGGAAAUGGUUGGAUAGAGAUUUUGAUCUGCUUUUUGAAAGAGAAGGUAAUAACUAAUUUUCAAUGAGAAAGUUAGGUAAAUUUCCUUUUUUAGUAUAGUAAAUAUACUAAAUAGGAUGUAGAAGGUAAAUUUCCUUUUUUAAUCUACCCUUUACAUAUCUACCUUCUACAUAGGACAACCGAAAUAUCUAAAAGACAGUACUUGCCGACUUAAAAAAUCUAUUAAAAAGACAAUUUAUGUCCCUGUUAUUACGUAGCUUAAUUGGGGGCGAUGAAUAGAAAAUAUAGAAUCACAAGACUCAAUGCAUUUAUUAUCGAAUCUGUAGUGACUUUAUGUGAUGUGAAUUUUAUACUAUAUGAUAGUUCUUUUUUUACGAUUCUUCACGUUUUACUGGAGAAUACGGGUCAAGUAUAAAAUACGGGUCAACGACUCAACGUGACCUAUUGAUUUUACAACUUCAUUAAAAACACUAUAUUUAACCUAACUAUAAUGCAAUCACAUUAAAAAAUAUAUCAAUCAAUAAAACAUUGGACCAACAACGCAAGAGCCAGCCCACUAACCCGGUGAGCAAGCCCAGCUUCAUUGACCCGAUGAUAUUAAGCAAGAUUCAAAGAUACAACAAAAGAUUGAAGGACGAAUUGAAGACCAAAACACAUAAUUAAAAACAUGUCAUUAAAUAGAAUACAUUUUUCAACGUAAAACAUUUAUAUCAGUUUAUCAACAAUAGAACGUGCUUUGCACAUGGCUCUUAAUGGUAUAGCUUUGGGCAAUGUGGCUCCUUUGUCUUCGGUCAUGUCCACAAAAUCCUCACCAACUCUUUCCCACUCAAAACAUUGAACCAAACUUCCAAGAGCCUGGUUUAUUAGCCGAUGAGCUAGCCCGGCUCCAGGACAAGCUCUUCGUCCCAUCCCAAAUGAGAUUAGCUUCUCAGCCUCUCCUUCUUUUUCAAAUCUUUCUGGUUUGAAUAUCUCAGGAUCUUCCCAUACCUCUGGAUCUCUAUGCAUGGCCCAUGCGUUGGUCAAUACCAUUGUUCCACUUGGUAUAUCGUAGCCUCCAACUUUACAAUCUUCUGAUGACAAAUGAGGUAGUAGUAGUGGGACUGCCGGGUACAUACGUAGUGUUUCCAAUACAAUGCUUUGGAGAUAAGAGAGAUUUACAAUGUCCGAUUCGUCUACUAAUCGGUCUAAACCGACUUUUUCAUCGAUUUCCAUUCUCGCUUUCUUAAGUAUUUCUGGAUGGUUCAACAGAUUUGACAUUGCCCAUUCUAGUGUUACUGAUGACGUAUCUGUCCCUGCAAUUAUCAGGGUCUAAACAAAAUUUCAAUCAUUAAACUCUCUCUAUAUAUAUAUAAAAACUUUCUUAUUGAUUGAUACUUACAAGUAUGAUUCCUUUGAUGAUGACAUCCGUAUAGUAAUCAGGUUGAAUGUCUUGGAGAGCAAGCAAGUGAUCGAUCAUAGUUUCACCUUUUUCCUUCUCCGCACGUUUUUCGUCGACUAAUUUCUGCAAAAACGUAUCAAACCUAUUUCCCAAAUUCUUGAUUCGUUUUUCAUAACUCGAGACCCAACGUAAAAUGGAAAGAUAAUCAAUGGGGUUUCCUGCACCGGCGCUGGUCACCGCCUCCGACACAAGGUUCUUCACGAGUUUAGCGUCAUCGUUGUCCUCACCGAAAUAUCUCUUCCCGGCCAACAUUCUGAUGGUGGUGUUGGAUGCCAAAUUGGUUAACAAUGUUUUCAUCUCUACCUCCACAAAUCCCUGAGAGUACGAAUACAAUAUUAGUAAACAGAUAAGAGUUUUGGUAAGUAUGUAAAAAUUUGUGCAUUUCCAUAUUCGCCACCUUAACAUAUUAGAACAAUGUGUUUAUUUUGAACCAAAUAAUUAUUCAACCAACUUAAGACAAUUAAAACCUACACUGCAUCUUUUUCUAUAAAUUUAAAAUUAAGCUUUUCUGUACAUUUGUAAUUUGUGAAUAAACUAUGUAAUAUUUAUGAAUAUAGUGAUCAGACUUUCGUGAAUAAAUAGCUAGUAUCGUAAUAUACACGCAAUGCUUCAAAAAAAUAAACUAGUCACAUGGACAAUUUAUCACCACAAUAAAUAUAAAAGUAUGUACUAUAUGAAAGUAGUCGUCACGAGUAAUGAAUAAAUAAUAAAUUUGUUAGUUGACAAACCAAAGAUAAAGUAAUGAAUACAGAACAAAUAAUAAAUAAAAAGAAUUGAAGGAGAUCAUACGUGUAAGGAAUCACGAGAGAGAUGUGAAAUGAGCCGUCGGAUCUCGUCCUUACGAAUAUACAGAAACGAAUUGAGUCUAUGAGUGGAGAAUAUCUCGACGGCGGCUAUGCGGCGGAGGUUCCUCCAAUGAUCGCCGUAAGAUGCCGAGAGUAAGUAGGUGGCGUUGUAGCCGAGGUGCUUACUUAUGGUGAACUUGGGGCGGUUCGCGAGAACGACAUCGUUCUUUGUGAAACAUUCUUCAGCGAUGGAACGUGAAGAGAUGACAUAAACGAGGCGAUUUCCGAGUCGGAGAUGGAAGACCGGAGCAUUUCCGAUGGAUUUGGAAAGGGAAAGGAAGGUACGGUGAAGCGGUGGCUUGAGGAGAUGGAGGUGUCCGAUCACCGGCAAGGAGAUCGCCGGCGACGGAGGAAGGUUUAGUUUCCGUUUGGAUCUUGUGAGCAAGAAUAUGGCUAAGGUAAAAAGAGAGAGAAAUGAGAGGAUCAAGAUUUGGUUCAAAUCCAUUUUGUUUGUUUGUGGGGCUCUCUCUCUUUCUUUCUUUUCGUCUCUCUUUUUUUUACUAUUGUUUUGGAGAUAUAUACAUGUGGUCAAGGAAAUAUAUUAUUUUUAAAAAUUAUGCUCUAUAAAAGAUAAUGUACUAUUGUCACAAGUUCAAAUUCGAACGUUGGACUCUAAUUAAGAAAAACCUUUUAAAAAAGCAGACGAAAUUAUAAUUCUAGAUUUCUUCUCAAGAUUUUCUUUCUUAAAAGUAAAAUAUAAGUGUAUUAAUAUAUUAUUUGGAUGUAUCACCUCGAAAUUAUUUCCUCUUUUUACAUAAUAACAAAAGUAGUACAAAAGUAACCGUUACUCAAAAAACACAAAUUAGCAUUUAGUACAAAAGUCUAAGCUCAAGCGGACUCGUUGAGGAUCUUACCAACAACGGGGCGUGCUUUGCACAUGGCUACCAACGGUAUAGCUUUGGGCAUUAUGACUCCUCCUCCACCUUCAGUCAUAUCCACCUCUUCUUCUCCUAUCCUCUCCCACUCAAAACAUUGAAUCAAAGACCCGAUAGUCAAGCUCGCUAGCCGUUGAGCCAGACCGGACCCAGGACACGCCCUUCUUCCUAGCCCAAACCCCAAUAGCUUCUGAGCCUCCCCUUCUUUCUCGAACCUCUCUGGUUUGAAGCUCGUUGGAUCAUCCCAUAUCUUAGGAUCCCUAUGUAUUGCCCAUGCAUUAGUCAAUAGCAUCGUUCCACGUGGCAUAUGGUAACCCCCUACUUUACAGUCUUCUGAUGCUACGUGAGGAACCAACAAGGGACUCGCAGGGUAUAAGCGCAACGACUCGGACACAAUGUUUUGAAGAUAAGGAAGAUGUGAGAGGUCUGAUUCCUCUACAAGCCUGUUGAGGCCAACCUUAUUAUCGAUUUCAUCUCUCGCCUUGCUUAGUAUCUGUGGAUGGUUCAACAAAGCUGACAAUGUCCAUUCCAAUGUUACUGCGGAUGUAUCAGUCCCCGCUAGUAUAAGAGACUUCAACACAAUGGACGCAUACACAAAAAAACAAACAUAACUAAUUAAUCCCAUACCAAAUGUGACAAUAGACUAAUGAACUUAAAAUGUUACUCACGAGCAUGAUUCCUUUGAUAAUGUUGUCCGUGUAGUACUCGGGUUGGGUUUCUUGCAGACAAAGCAAGUGAUCAACCAUUGUGUUCUGCCUUUUCUCCUUCCCUUCUCGUCUUUCAUCGACCAAUCCCUGCAAGAACUCAUCAAGCCUACUAGCGAUCUUCUUUAUCCGUUUCUCGGAACCUGUGAUCCAAGUCAGGAUCGGUAAAUAAUCAGCAGUGUUUCCAGCACCAAAACAACCCAUUCCCUCUGCUAUAAGCUCCCGCACGCGUUUAGCCUCCGGGUCAUCCUCUGCACCAUCUCCGUAGUAACAUUUUCCAGCCAACAUUCUUAUAAUGUUGUUGAAUGUUAAGUUAGAAAACAUUGAUUUCAUCUCAACCUUUGUAAAUUCCUGCAAAAUUUAUUGUAUAUCAUAUGUUAAAUAUUUGCUACAAUUCACUGAAAUUCACCUAUAAGCAGAGAUUGACUAGGGACUAAGGAUUCUGAUUAUAAUAAAUUUUGCUAAUUAGCAUAAAAUUGGAACAAAGAACAAAGAACAAACUUACGAGUGAAGAGUUCCGUGAGAGACAAGCUAUAAGCCGGUGGAUCUCGUCUCGGCGGAUAGAUGAAAAGCUAUUGAGACGGUGAGCCGAGAAUAUCUCAACAGCGCCAAUACGGCGGAGAUUUCUCCAAUGGUCGCCGUACGAAGCUGUAACAACCGUUGUGCAGCCAUAUGAGAUGUGUUUUGAAGCAAGGGAGUUGAAGCGGUUCGCGAGUACGACGUCGUUCUUUGUGAAGCAUUCCUCGGCGAGUGAGUGUGAAGAGACAACGAAAACGAGUCGGUUGCCGAGACGGAGGGAGAUUAUCGGAGCAUCGCCUAGGGACUCAGAGACGGAUAGAAAAACUCGGUGGAGUGGCGGCUUGAGAAGGCGGAGGUGACCGAUCACCGGUAACGCCCACGACGGACUCGGAGGAAGGUUAGGUCUUCGCUUGAUUCUUCCGAUGAUAAACGUGAGAGAAAGAGAUAUGAAAAGGAAUGUGAAAAUUAGGGUUUGACCUUCCAUAUUUGACUUCUUCUUCCUCAAGGAUCUUCAGGGGUUGUAACAGAGGAUGAUGUGGUGCAAAAUCUGCUUGAACUACUCCAUAGACGUUGACUUCGAAAACAGAAUCUUAUUUCGGCCAAAUCACAUGUGCCCAUUAGUCGUUUAGAUACCUAAUCAUUAUUAUUUAUUUAUUUUAGCUAAUUAUAUGACAUUUAGCAUAGCAAUGCCACACCUAGAUUUUUUUAUUUUUUUUUCACACCUAGAAUUUUGUUUGAUUGAUAACACUGAACAUUCAUAUUUGUAAGACUGUAACAUAAUUAACAAUGGGUUAUUGGAAAUUAGAAUAUGAUUUUUGUCUCUGAUUUUUAUUAUGCUAAUACGUUUCAUUUAAUUCGUUACCGUUGCUAAGCAACGUAUUAGCAUUUUACAUACAAAAACUCAAGAGGAGUCGGGUAAGAUUUUACCAACAAAGUCACGUGCUCUGCACAUAGCUUCCAACGGUCUAGCUUUCGGCAUUGUGAGUCCUGGACCUUCAGUCAUAUCGACCUCUUCUUCUCCAAUCCUCUCCCAUUCAAAACAUUGAAUCAAAGACCCGAGACUCAAGGUCACUAGCCGCUGAGCCAAACCGGAUCCAGGACAUGCCCUUCUUCCUAGCCCGAACGGCAUUAGCUUCUUAGCCUCUCCUUCUUUCUCGAACCUCUCUGGCUUGAAGCUCGUUGGAUCAUCCCAUAGCAGGGGAUCCCUGUGUAUAGCCCAUGCAUUAGUCAAUAGCAUCGUCCCACGCGGCAUAUCGUAUCCCCCAACUUUACAAUCUUUCGAGGCUACGUGAGGAAGCAGCAUAGGGGCUGCAGGGUACAGACGUAACGUUUCAGAUACAAUGUUCUGUAGAUAAGGAAGAUUUGGGAUGUCUGAUUCCUCCAAAAGCCUGUCUACACCGAUCAUUCUGUCGAUCUCGUCUCUGGCCUUGUUCAGCACCUCAGGAUUGUUCAACAAGCUUGACAAUGCCCAUUCCAAUGUUACCGCUGUUGUAUCAGUCCCCCCUGCUAUAAGAGACUGCCCAUUGCACAUAUACAAGAAAAAUAACAUAAGCUAGUUCCUUCACAAUUCAUACCAAAUGUGACCAUGACUACUUAAAAAAGCUAUUCUCUGUUACUUACAAGCAUGGUUCCUUUGAUGAUGCGGUCCAUGUAGUACUCUGGUUGGGUUUCUUGCAGACAAAGCAAGUGAUCAACCAUCGUGUUCUCCUUCUUCUCCUUUCCUUCUCGUUUCUCAUCGACCAAUCCUUGCAAGAACUCAUCAAGCCUACCAGCGAGCUUCUUUAUCCGUGUCUCGGAAUAUGUGAUCCAAGUCAGGAUCGGUAUAUAAUCAGCAGCGUUUCCAGGACCAGAAGAACUCAUAGCCUCUGCGAUAAGCGUCCGCACGCGUUUGGCCUCCGGGUCAUCUUCUUUACCGUCUCCAUAGUAACACUUUCCGGCUAGCAUUCUAAUGAUGUUGUUGAAUGUUAAGUCAGAAAACAUUGAUUUCAUCUCAACCUUAGUAAACCCCUGCAAAAAUAACACACCUCCAUAAAACUUUAAUAGCACAAAAAUUUACAAAAAAACUUUGCUAAUAGCAUAAAAGAAAUUAUAAAUUAGUAUUCAAGGUCUAAUCCUUUUGGAACAAAGACUUCACUUACGUAAGAAGAGUUCCGUAAGAGACGGCCUAUAAGCCUCCUGAUCUCAUCGCGGCGAAUAGAGGAAAAGCUAUUGAGUCUAUGAGCCGAGAAAAUCUCUAAGGCGCCGAUGCGGCGGAGAUUUCUCCAGUGUUCGCUGUACGAAGCAGAGACCACGGUGGAGUUGCCGUAUGAGAUGUGUUUUGUAGAAAUGGUGGUUUGUCGGUUCGCGAGUAUGACGUCGUUCUUCGUGAAGCAUUCCUCGGCGAUUGAGUGUGAAGAGACAACGAAUAGGAGUCGGUUGCCGAGACGGAGGGAGAUGAUCGGAGCGUCGCCUAAAGAUUGAGAGACGGAGAGGAAAACACGGUGGAGUGGUGGCUUGAGAAGACGGAGGUGACCGAUCACUGGUAACGCCCAUGCAGGACUCGGAGGAAGGUUGAGCUUUCGCUUGAUUCUUCCGAUGAGGAAUAUGAGAGAGAGAACUAUGAAACAGAACGUGAAGAUAAGCAUUAGAGCUUCCAUAUUGAUCACGUUGGAUUUUGGUGAGUGAUGAAGUUGGCAAAUCUAGUGUGCUUAAAUAGAUUGAAAAACAGAACAAAAAAUAGACUCAAACAAAAACCCAAUUUUUUAUUUUGACAAAUGGACUCAUUGAGGAAAACGUUACAUGAUUUUCUUGUGUCACAUUUAUUGUUUGUUGAUAUUUGGAUUUUUUGACUUUUUUAACUCAGUUUCAUUUGUUAAUUACACAUUAUUUUAUAGUAAAAUCACUUUGAUACACCUUUAUUUUGGGGAAAUUGUAUAUUAAGGAUCUUUUCCAAAAGUUUGUCCUCUAUACUUUAUAUAGAUAAAAAUUUGGUGAAAUAGGUUUUAAGGAAAAUUAAAAACCAAUUAUACCCUUAAUAUAAAAUGAAUUAAAAUACAGAAUUGAAGAAAUAUGAUUUUAUAUCUCCAAUCCAAAAACUCUCAAUAGAAUAGAGGCUUACUUCCAAAUCCCAAUUAUAAAACCAUCUCUAAUGUUGAGAACCACAUGAAAGGCUCUCACCCUUUUUUAAGUUUAAAUUUUGAUUUUAUCAAACUUAAGAACUUGAAUUAAGUUUUAUCUCCUCAACCUAUCACGGCUCCCUCAGCUUCCAAAAUCUCUCUUCAAAUAGUUUACUCUCUCAAAUUUAAUCAGUUUUGAUGAUUUUAUUUUAAUCACCAAAAUCAAGAAAACUCUCUCAAAUUAUCAAGAGAACCUUGCAUUGGAGAUACUUAAUAUCUAAUUUUUUCCUUUUUUUUUGGUUUAAUGCUUAAAGUUAAAACACUUUGUUAUUUAUUGCUAGUAGAUUUCCCCGUAGCAAAAUUUAGUUUUGGUUUUGUAUCUUCAUCAUUUUUAUCGCUCGUAUCAGCAUCGUUCAACGUGUGAGAGAACUUAAAACAUUAAAUUUCAAGCGUCCGCUAGAAACCAAUAACAUACAAGCCUCAUCAACCUUAAAUAUUUUAAAUCACAUACCCAAAAUAUCAUCUAGGAAUAUAGGUUAAAUAUUCACAUAUACAUUAACAUACAAACAUAAUAUUUUCACCAAAAAAAAAGAAAACAUACAAACAUAACUAGUUAUCUAAUGUAUACAUAGCCAUUACCAAAAGUCUAAACGUCAAACGGACUCGUUGAAGAUUUUAACAACAGAGGGACGUGCUCUGCACAUGGCUUCCAAAGGCUUGGCUUUAGGCAUUGUAACACCUUUGCCUUCACUCAUAUCCACUUCUUCUCCAAUCUUCUCCCAUUCCAAACACUGAAUCAAUGAUCCAAGAGUCAGGUUUAUAAGCCGAUGAGCCAGUCCAGAACCAGGACACGCCCUUCUUCCUAACCCAAACGGCAUUAGCUUCUGAGCUUCUCCUUCUUUCUCAAACCUCUCUGGCUUGAAGCUCAUUGGAUCAUCCCAUAGCUGAGGAUCUCUGUGUAUAGCCCACACAUUGGUCAAUAGUAUCGUGCCACGCGGCAUAUCGUAUCCUGCAACUUUACAAUCUUCCGAGGCAACGUGAGGAAGAAGCAUGGGAGCCGCAGGAUAAAGGCGCAACGUUUCAGACACAAUGUUUUGGAGAUAAGGCAGGUUUGAGAUAUCUGAUUCAUCCAUAAGCCUGUCUAAACCUAUCUUUCUAUCGAUUUCAUCUCUCGCCUUGUUCAAUACAUCCGGAUGGUUCAACACGUUCGACAAUGCCCAUUCUAACGUAACCGCUGAUGUGUCGGUCCCUGCUAGUAUCAAAGCCUGAAAAUUGCACACAUACACGUCACUAAACUAGCAUGUUUCAUACCAAAAUAUGACAAGGAGUGAUCUAAAGAAUUGAUCGAAAAAGGGUACUUACGAGCAUGUUUCCUUUAAUGAUACGAUCCGUGAAGUAAUCCGGUUGGGAUUCUUGCAGAGUAAGCAAGUGAUCGAUCAUAGUGUUUCCUUUCUCCUUAGCUUCUCGUUUCUCAUCAACCAAUCCUUGCAAGAACUCGUCGAGCCUACCCGCCAACUUCUUAACCCGUGUCUCGUAAUCUGAAACCAACCGCAAAACCGGUAAGUAAUCAACAGCGUUUCCAGCACCAGCACAAGCCACCACAUCCGCUAUAAGCUGCCGGACACGUUUAGCCUCCGGAUCAUCCUCAACACCGUCUCCGUAGUAACGUUUUCCGGCCACCAUUCUUAAAAUGUUGUUGAAUGUUAAGUCAGAUAACAUUGAUUUCAUAUCCACUUUCACAAACUCCUACAAUGACAGAACAGAGAGUCCACAAAACAGAGUAUAGUUAGAAUAAAACAGAGUAUUAAUUAAAUCCAAAUUCGUGAUUAAGAGCUAAUUAACUAAGUUUUAAAGCUCGCUUACUUGUGAAAAGUUCCGAGAAAGACGAAACACAAGUCGUCGGAUCUCGUCUUUACGAAUAGACAAAAAGCUAUUGAGACGGUGAUUGGAGAAUAUCUCGACGGAGCCGAUGCGGCGGAGGUUACGCCAGUGGUCACCGUAGGAAGCUGCGAUCAUGGUUGUGUAAUCGUACGCAACGUGUUUAGCGAGGAUGAAGUUUGGUCUGUUCGCCAGUACGACGUCGUUUUUGGUGAAACAUUCCUCGGCGAUCGAGUGUGACGAGUUCACGAAAACGAGUCGGUUACCGAGUCGGAGGGAGAAGAUCGGAGCAUUGUUUAGGGAUUGAGAGAGGGAGAGGAAUGUGCGAUGAAUCGGUGGUUUGAGAAGGCGGAGAUGACCAAUCACCGGUAAUGACCAUGCCGGACUCGGAGGUAGAUUUGGCUUUCGCUUGAGUUUUCCAAUUAAGUAAAUGAGAGAGAGAACAACGAAGAGAAUUGAGAAAAUUAGGGUUUUGGUUUCCAUGUUUUAGAUCUAUUUUGGUGAGUGAAGCAGUUUUGGAAACUUUUGUGGGGUUAAAUAGAUUAGAACAAAAUUAAUAAACAAAGUUCAAUUUUGAUUUUAGUAUUGACUAUUUGACAUUUUGACUCAUUGACCAAUGUUCUCGAAGUAGCAAAAUCUGACUUGAUUCUAUCUUUAUGGUUACAAAAGUCAAGUCUUGUUCCUCAAGAAAGUUUGAAAAAUAGUCCUCGUUUCAACUUCACAAAUAAUGCCCUCCACGUGUUCAACAUAAUUCCCAUGAAAGAAUGAUAUUUAGAUAAUCCAACUAAAUUUGUUCACUUUGAUCUUCUUUUCACGUACAAAUUACAAUGUGUGGUGUUUGGUUUUACCAGAAAUCGCCACAAGAGCAAGAACCAUCUGUGAAAUGAUGGAACCUAUUCCGAUCUCUCAUAACGAUUUUCCGUCCUGUGAUUUUCGAUAUCAGUUUUGUCACCGUAUGACAAUCAGAACAUACUCGUAGGUUCUUGAAUAUUUUCAAGGGACUUCCCGGUUUGGUGCUGAUUAGACCGUAUGCAAUCGCGAGUCUCUCGCUGUGAACUUGUAGAGAUUGCUCUUUCUCUGUCUCUUCAAGAUCCUGCAAGACUGUGUUUGUAUUUGGAACAUAACCAUGAGACUUGAUCCGCUCGCUGAUCUUUCUUAGCAUUGUGUAAAUUUCUUUGCUUUUCGAGUGUUCUCUAUCUCCAGCUCGGAAUUCAUGAACUUUGUUUUCGAUUUCUAUGGUGCUUAUACCAGGCUCCUUCACUAUUCCUUUCUCCUUCAUCAAGUUCCUCACUUUUGCAACACCUUCAUAAUCACCCACCGAUGCAUAUAUGUUCGAAAGAAGAACAUAAAUUCCUGAGUUUUUGAUGUUUAGUCCAAUGAGAUACUCUGCAAUUUCCUUGCCUAACACAAAAUCUCCAUGAAGUUUACAGCUUCCGAGAACAGAACUCCAUAAGACAGAAUCAGCAUCCAUGUUCAUGUUUUUUAUGGUUUCGUAAGCCCGUUUUAACUGGCCAGCACGACCGAGUAGACUGACCAAGCAUCCAUAAUGUUCAAUCUUGGGUUUAAUCCCAUACUCUUGUCCCAUUGACUCAAAGAUUCUUAUCCCUUCGUUUACUAAACCAGCGUGAGCACAAGCCUGAAGUGUUCCUAUGAAAGUUAUAUCCGUUGGUUGCAACCCUGUGAUCCCUUGCAUCUCAUUAAACAAUCUCAAUGCAUCUUGGCUAUAACCGUGCAUUGCAUAACCAGCAAUCAUCGCAUUCCACGCCACGAUAUCCUUCCUUGGAGUAUCGUUAAAAACUAAAACUGCCUCUUCCAAACUCCCACAUUUGCUAUACAUAUCAAUCAAACCCGUACAUACUUUAACAUUGAGCCUAAUACGACUGCUCUUGACAAAAACAUGGAUCCAACGCCCAGUUUCCAGCGCUCCAAUCUGCGAACACGCUGAAAGAGCAGCUACAACGGUUAUUUCAUCAGGUUUUGGUUUACCUUCGGCCAAAAGUUUCUGAAAUAGCAUCAGAGCGUCAUUAGGGAACCCAUGUUGAGCGUAUCCAUCAAUCAUCACGUUCCAAGAAACAAUGUCUCUCUCACACAUACUAUCGAACAAAGCUCUCGCAGCCUCGACGUUCCCCUGCUUUGCGUAGCAGGUGAUCAUAGCUGUAGAAGAAACGAGACUCCUCUCAGGCAUUCUAUCGAACACUUUCUGGGCAGAUACCACAUCUCCUCCUUUCGCAUAAACGUCGACGAGACCAGUCGCCACGUAAGGAUCAAUCCCCAAUCCGAAUUUAAGAACAUGGGUAUGGAUCAAUUUUCCGGACUUAGUUGAGCAAGAUUUCAAAAGCGACGAGAAAGUAAACUCAUUGGGGUUGAUUUCAGAAGAAAGCAAUUGAACAUAAAGCAGGAAGGCUUGGUCUUUGAGGCCGUUAAUGGAGGCAGUGUUGAUUGCGGCGGUGAAGAGGAACAAGUCUGGAUCGAUCGUCUGGUGAAAUAAAGCCAACGAGUGGCGAAUUUUGCCGUGGGAAGCGUAUGCACGGUGGAGCUUGAGGUUUAGAACUGGGUAACGAGGGUGGAGGAGGAGGUUAUGACGGAGAAUAGCUGCGUGGAUUUGGAGCACUUCAUCUACUGAUUGCGAUUUGUCGAUUAGAACUGCAAGUUUCUCUGGCGGCGGAAGGCGGAAUCUGGCGGUUGCGGUGGUGGAUAACUGAUUCUGCGGUAGUGACGUGGCGAGAAGUGGUGACGAAGCCAUCUUCUAAAUUUCCAAUAAAAUGGGUUUAAUUCAUUAAUGUUGCUUUGAAAAACUUCAGGCCCGUAUGUUAAUGGAAUAGGCCCAUUAUUCUUGAUCAAUUACAGGCCCAUCUUAUAAAUUUAAAGAUGAAGACGAGACGAGUAAAUGUAGCUAAUUAAUUAAAUUAUACUGUAUUUUUAAAAUUCACAAGCCAAGACAAAUCGUGGAAAGAAAAAACAGCAUAUAGAGCAUAUAGUAUAGUAAACUAAAGGGAUAAAAAAGAUUUUGGUUGGGGCAAAGAGAUCAAAGAAAGAUUUUGGUUGAGACAAAGAGAUCAAAGAAAUUUUACAAUAUAUGCAUGUUCCUACAACUAAAGUAAUAGUCAAGAAGAUUAAAAUUUUACAUUUGUAAUCAAAAAAGGAAAGAAGAGGGACAAAACCUAGAGGGGAGUGAAAAGAAAAAGAAAAAAAGUGGGAACGAGACAAAAGGUGUAAGAAGAAGAGACAUAUUAAUUGUGUCUACAGAACUAAAGCUAUGUUCUGUGUUCCGACCUUAGUCAUGUGACGUUCCCGUCAACUUCUGUUUUAAUUAAAUUCUUUUUACUUGUAGAAAUUACGUGAGAAAAAAAUAUAGAUAUUGUAGAAGUAAAUUCUAGAGAAAAUUUGAACUAUAUAUUCGUUUCCGGUUGAAGUUUUAAUGUUGGAAUCUAAUACUAUCUAAAAUUCCACGGUAACCAUCCAUUUAUAUUUGUAACACGAGUGUAAAAGACAACGACCAAGAGUCCAAGACUAUAACAAAAAUUGAUUUUAGAUAUUUACAUCGAAAAAAAAGUAGAGAAUAUUAGAAAGAAUUGAACACUGAAACUGGACGUGUCGCGAAAACGAAAGCGACUGAAGAGAAAGUGUUCGGUAGUUGGAUUGCUACGGCCUAAUUUGCCGUAACACUCUACCAUACUUGGUCCAUUCUUGUUUAGUAUAAAUUAAACGUAUAUAUAACGUAUACGUAUUAAUGUUUAAAAAAACGUAUACGUACUAAUGUUUGAAAAACAUUGUGAUGAAGUUUGAUUUAUUAAAAAGUCAAUACCUUUUCAAGCCCUCUGACAUUGAAACAUAUUAAACAUAUAUAUUGGCAAAACCAUUAGCUAGAACUAAGGUUAUGUAAAAUUAGUCACUUUAUAAUAUAGAUUAUAGAAUACUUUUGUGUGCGGCGUUCCAAAUAAAAAAAAUUUAUGUCACGGACUGAUAUUAAUCUUGUCCCCUCGACCGUUUUUUUUGUUUAAAGAAGACAAUAUUAAUCCUGCAUUCGAAUAGAUAGGUCGAGUUGUUAAUUUGGAAAACCAAUAAUAUAUUCUAGGGGGUUUCGUAUACGAGUAAAAUUUCCUGAUCAUAGCUUGUAAGAAUCUUUUGAUUGUUAUAUCAUCUAGGAAGUCUAAAUUGCACCCAAAAAAAAUCUAGGAAGUCUAAAGUCUUAGUAGAUAAGUUGUUUUUUUUCCUUCUCAACUUUUUGGUCAAAAUAAGCAUAUAUAAGUUUAUUCAAACAUUUUGAAGUUCCCAAACAGGUUAAAUUAUCAUGGUAUUUAACUGGCCAGUGUAUCAGCGGCUUUGAUCAUAACCCAAUUCCAUGAGUUGAUUUCUUUACAUGAAUUUGUUUUGGAACAUAUUUAUGUACAAUUUGUUAAAACGUAACUAGAUCUAUUUCAAAAUAUAUCAGCUUUGAAUCUCUUAUAGUGAGAACAGCAUGAUUAAGGUUUCAAUACUGAACAAAUAUAUACUGAAUUUUUGUAAAAUCAAAGAAGUUAUUUAACAUUUUAUGAGUUGCGCAGUCUAUCCUACAAAAAUUUCUUAUAUUGUACGUAAAACCCUUGUGUAUGUAUAUAUAAUAAAACUAUGUUUGGGAGAAAUAAGACAACUUCUUACUACUGGUUGAUGGAUACCUAUCAGCUCGAAAUUAAAGUAUAUUAUUGUGUCCACGGAAAAAAAAAGUAGAAAACGCAUUAUUUGUUUCUCCUUGUACAGAAAAAUCAGCAAAAAAUGUAAGUAAGAGAAGAGAGAACGAAAAAACAGAAAUGACAGGACAAUUGUAAAGAAGAAACAACGACAGUGUUUGCCCAUAAACUUAUGCUUUUGUCUUUACGGUAUCUUUGAUAUCGAAACAUGUACAAUUGUUUCGAAAUAAAAAUAAGAAAAAACUCAUGCUUUUGCCUUUUAAAUGCAUUUUAUGUUUGUUCUUUACUUUUAUUGAAAGCUCGAUCAUUAUGGGUUUUUUUUUUUCAUUCAAAUUAUAUCGAAAAUAAAUCUCCUAAAUUGCGAAAAUAAUAGUGACAUAUCAACGUAAAGUGUGUCUACUUCUUUAAACAGGAUCUGUUCACAUGCAUGCAGUAAAGAUAUAUAUGCAUAUAUAGAUUGAAUAGGACCAAUUAUGGCGACGUACAUGCAUGUGCCUAUAAAUUAUCUUCUCACAAUGCACCAAUUAUUUAUGGAUUAUCACUUCUUUUAAGCUAUGAUUAUGGAACGUUACUUAAUUAUGGAUAGAGUCCUGUUUAAUUCGAAACACUCUCAAUUGCAUGUAAUAAUACACUCAAAUUCAGUGAUUAUUUCUCCUUUUUAACAUAAUUGCUGGUUUCCAUAUUUUCACUAUGCAUCACGUAAACACGUGAAAGACUUGGUUGUUAUAAUAUUGUAAAUAAGUGGUGAAUUUUCGUAUCCUCCCACCUCGCAUGCGGUAUAUUUUGUUUGUGUGUUGAUAAAGUUGAACUGGAAAAAUCAAAUUGUCGUAUAUAUAAGUACAGAAAAACUUAAAGCUGUCGAAAUUAUUGGCGGAAUGGUUGUUGCCAAGAAGGGUCCCAAGUCUAUAUUAUCCAAAGAUAUCUUCACAAAUAUCGUCAGCAACGAAAAACCAUAAAAUAAAUAGUAACGACGCCAUGCCUUCUUUGGAUCUAAUCUAUAUAUCUCUCUCUUUAACAUAGAAUAAUCGUGUUCUUUUUUCUUUUUUUCUUUUUUGAUAGAAGUUGAAUUGGUCAAAUUUUAGUUUGUACAAAACUAAAUUCGCUUACUAGAUGUUUUUUUUUAUGAUCAAGGAAAUCUCAGGCAAAAAAAGUAAACCAAUCAUUAACAUAUGUAAAAAAAACUGUAAUAAUAUGUUGAAAAAUAGUCACACAUUGAAAAGACUAAUCAUUUUUAUUUUUAUCCUCUGUUUGAUUUUUGUUCUAUAAAAUCUACCAAAACUAUCGCCAAAAGUAAUCUAAUGAUCAUGACAUUAUCACUCAUUCAACUAUGGCGUCCAGUAAAUGGGCUAGAUUGAAUUAAAUGUGCGAGUUAUAAAUUUUGAUUGUCAAAUUUGGAUUUUAAAAUGGUCGUGGAAUAUUAUCAUUUAUCAGUACUAUUGCCUACCUAAUUCAAGGGUCAACUUGAGUACUGUAUAAUAUUGACUUUAAUUAUAUAUGGACAAUUGACAACAAAUUAACGUAAAAAGGACCAUAUAAAACACCCUAUGUUUUACUGUCUAUAUGAACAUCUAUUUCAAAUUUGUUUUGAAAUUUACAUAAUAUGUUACAUACUAAUUAAUUGAAUGGUAAUUUUGUACAGGGGACAAUAAAUAUCUUUUAGUGAAUAAGAAUCAGCCUUCCAAAAAUAUAUUGAUAAUAAUUAUUAUUAUAGUAGUCAGCAGCCUUCGAAUAUAUCUACUAUUCAUAUAAGAAAAAGCUAAUGCCGUUAAAACAAAAUCCUACUAAUAUAUGAGAUAGUUGAAGUGACUAUUCUAAUGAACAAUUUGCUCCAGAAGAAAAUUUGUUCCCGAAAUGUCUAAUCAAAGAUAAUGCAUUAUCCGUGCGAUUAGCCUCUUCCUAAAAUAGCGACCAACGUCUUUUUAUUUCGUUAAGUUAUUUAUAAUUAUUGGUCCCUUUGGCUUUUUAAUCUUAUUGUUAAUAUUAGUACUAUUUAAUCAAGGCCCACAUGUCGAGCGACCCAACGCCAUGACCGAAUUUAUAUUCUAUCAAAUAUGCAUAUAUCAUAUUGUUUAUAAAUGGUCUUGGUGUUGAAACAUAAAUGUAUAUACAGUUGAUGCAUUCGUUUAAAAAAAUUCCAGAGUCCUAUUGUGGUAAAGAAAUAGACUAUAUAUAAUAUAGUGAAAACUAGUGUUGUAUGUCUAUAACUUCAAAUUAGUCUAUUUCAGUUUUGACAAAUCGUUAUCCAAUAAACAAAAUUUAGUAAUCAUACCAAAAAUGUAGAAACCUAAUUCAAUCUGCACUGCGGCAUACCAUUUAAACCCCGAAUGAUUAAACUUUAUUCAUUGGUGAUUUUUUUUUUCUUAGUUUGAAAAUAUGGUUUACCUAAACAACGGAAAACAAAGAAGAAUAAAGUUUUGAUGAAUUAUUGCAAACACAACUACACAAGGAACAACAAGUAGGAGAUUAAAGUCUCGAAACCAUAUUAAAAGGAGAUUGGUGACAUAAGUGCUCUGUAAUUACCGUUGUUUGUAAAAAGAACGAAUUUUCAGGAAAAAAAUAAAAUGAAUUAAAUGGAGCAAGUUGGGGAGGGUACAGCACGAGCGACGAUCAUGAAGCCAAUUACCAAAUGAAAUUGUGAUUUAGGGUGCUGAUAUUCAUAAACUUGGGUUAAGUCGUUGUUUAAAAUUGUGUUUUGGCUGUUAGCGAUGAAUUAUAGUAAAACAAGAAAGAGUUCUAGUAAAAAACAAAAAUUGCUUAGUACUAAUAAAUUUCACAAGACCAUUCACACUAUACAACAAUAAUCCUUCGUUGCCAGCAGUCUAAUGGGACUGUGUUAUAGGUUAAUCUCUCUUUCACGGACUAUUAAUUUUUGGCUCAACCUCAAUGUAAUUUAUUUAAAUUAUAUUUCAACGCAUACACGUGAAUUUAUACAUCUUUUCAUAGGAUUUGCAAUUCCGGAUUCUCAUCCGUCCUAGGAGGUUGUAUAUGUAUAUUAUUGGUAACUACAGCAUUAAACAACUUUAACACUAAGUACGAUGAUAUUAUAUGUACAUGUACGUAUGCUAUAGAUUGAUAUAAGAAAAAAGUAAAGAGAGAGCGGAUGAUUGUUGAUUGAACUAAUUAACAAUAGUGUAUUAGGUAGGCUUGUAUCCGACAGUCAACUUAAACUUCAUAGUUGAAACCAAUAAAACCAGAAGAAAAAAAAUUUAUAUACUAAUCAUAAUCAGCAUGAUGUUAGACGAUUUGAUAUCUAACUUUCUUCGUUAUGAUAGAGAAAUAAUAUUCGCAAUAAAUCACAUAUAAAAAAAAUUACUUUACGUCAUAGAUUAUCAACUUGCCUCCAAACACAACAACAUGAUCCCCUACGCUACAAUACAUAAUAUGAAAAAUAAAUUAAUCGUUGAUUAACUUAAAGUCACUCCGUUAAUAACGUUAUAAGCAAAGCUUAUUAGUUUUUUUGACCGUCAUUAUCGACGACCAAACAAAGAAAGAGUCCCAACAAAUUAUGCCACGUAAGUCCAGAACGACGCCUAUGAAACCAAUAAGACAAAAAUUCAAAAACCAAAACAUCCGUGAAAACUCUUACGUGGCGGUGACAUGUGGGUCCCUUAUGUCUCCAUUAACUAACAUAAGCUUAUUGUCGACUGUACCUUUUGUCCCCCGUCUCGGCUACAACCCUGUGACAAACAAAGAUCAAGUCAAAAUAUCUAACCUAAAGUACUCUCGUCCACGUGGACAUUGCUGACGUGGAACUUCUCCCUUCUAUAAAUACAGGCUUCUCUUCGCCGAAUUAUACUCAUCAAACGAGUAAAACAUUUGCUAAUAUUAAACACUUUUUCUUUUAGAAAAAAAAACAAAUAUGGCCGUUGAUUCACCUCUUCAAUCUCGGAUGGUUUCAGCGACGACUUCUGAGAAAGAUGUGAAAGCUCUCAAGUUCAUUGAAGAAAUGACUCGGAACCCUGACUCGGUUCAAGAGAAGGUUCUUGGAGAGAUACUGACUCGUAACUCUAACACCGAAUAUCUGAAACGGUUCGAUCUUGAUGGUGUCGUUGAUCGGAAAACGUUCAAGAGCAAAGUUCCGGUGGUUACGUACGAAGAUUUGAAGCCGGAGAUUCAACGUAUAUCCAACGGCGAUUGUUCUCCGAUCUUGUCUUCUCACCCCAUCACCGAGUUUCUCACAAGGUAUAAUAAUUAAGUCAACUUUAUCAAUGAUUAAUAUCGUUGUUAUAAACAAAUCAAUUACGUGAUUUUGAUCAUAAUAUUAAAUUAGAAAAAUACUUAUAGAAUAUUGCUGUUGACCGUAAUUUUUUUUUUUUAAUUGUAUGUAUCUGCAGCUCAGGAACAUCUGCUGGUGAGAGGAAACUAAUGCCAACAAUUGAAGAAGACUUAGACCGACGUCAGCUUUUAUACAGUCUUCUCAUGCCUGUGAUGAAUCUGUUAGUAUAUAUACUUUAAACAUUUAAUUAUAUCUAUUUUCGUAACGAUUUAUUAAAAUUAACCAAAAAAUGUUUAACUACAGCUACGUGCCGGGAUUAGACAAAGGCAAAGGGUUAUACUUCUUAUUCGUGAAGUCGGAGUCAAAGACGUCAGGUGGGUUACCGGCUCGUCCGGUUCUCACGAGUUAUUACAAAAGCGACCACUUCAAGAGACGACCGUACGAUCCGUACAACGUCUACACUAGUCCUAACGAAGCCAUCCUCUGCUCCGACUCGUCCCAAAGCAUGUAUGCUCAAAUGCUAUGUGGUCUCUUAAUGCGCCAUGAAGUUCUCCGACUCGGCGCAGUGUUUGCUUCCGGUCUCCUCCGUGCCAUAAGCUUCCUCCAGAACAAUUGGAAGGAACUUGCUCGUGAUAUCUCAACCGGAACCCUAAGUUCUCGAAUCUUCGAUCCUGCCAUUAAAAACCGCAUGUCCAAGAUUUUGACCAAACCUGAUCAAGAACUGGCUGAGUUUUUGGUUGGGGUUUGUUCACAAGAGAAUUGGGAAGGGAUAAUCACAAAGAUAUGGCCUAACACGAAGUACCUCGACGUGAUUGUUACUGGAGCAAUGGCUCAGUAUAUCCCGACGUUGGAGUACUAUAGCGGUGGAUUACCGAUGGCUUGCACGAUGUAUGCUUCGUCCGAAAGUUAUUUCGGGAUUAACCUAAAGCCGAUGUGUAAACCCUCGGAGGUUUCUUACACAAUCAUGCCAAACAUGGCCUACUUUGAAUUCCUCCCACAUAAUCACGAUGGAGAUGGAGCAGCAGAAGCAUCAUUAGACGAAACGUCACUUGUGGAGCUUGCUAAUGUUGAGGUAGGAAAAGAGUACGAACUCGUGAUCACGACCUACGCGGGGCUCUACCGUUACAGAGUUGGCGACAUUCUUCGUGUCACGGGGUUCCAUAAUUCCGCUCCACAGUUCAAAUUCAUACGGAGAAAGAAUGUUCUGCUAAGCGUAGAAUCCGAUAAAACCGACGAGGCUGAGCUACAAAAAGCAGUGGAGAAUGCGUCGAGGUUGUUUGCAGAGCAAGGAACACGUGUGAUCGAGUACACAAGCUACGCAGAAACGAAGACUAUACCGGGUCAUUACGUAAUCUACUGGGAGCUACUUGGUAGAGAUCAAAGCAAUGCUCUUAUGAGCGAAGAAGUCAUGGCUAAGUGCUGUUUGGAGAUGGAGGAAUCUUUAAACUCGGUUUAUAGACAAAGCCGGGUCGCUGAUAAAUCGAUCGGCCCGUUGGAGAUACGUGUGGUACGGAACGGUACGUUUGAGGAGCUCAUGGACUAUGCCAUCUCGAGAGGCGCAUCGAUUAAUCAGUAUAAGGUACCGAGGUGCGUGAGCUUCACACCUAUCAUGGAGCUGCUUGACUCUAGAGUUGUGUCUGCUCAUUUCAGCCCUUCGUUGCCGCAUUGGUCACCAGAACGACGUCGUUAGAUAAAACUUUAUAUGAAAGAUAUCAACCGGAUGAUGUGCGGUUUUAGAAUAUAAAGCUCUGUUUCUGAUGCUAAUUAAGACUCCCUGUUAGAUUUCUUAUUAGGCUUUGUGAAUCGUACAAUAAAAUUUGAAGUACGUACCGAUGUUUUUUUCCUUCAUCUUCUGUUGGAAUCCAGCUAAUAACUAGCUUUGGUCCAAAAACCAGAUAUUUUUAAAAUCAGCAUUUAAUUAUUACUACGCCCUAAAUUUUCUUUAAACACGGAAUGUUAAUCAAUGUGCCCUAAUACUUCCAACAUAAAAGUUUGGAAACUAACAUUAGAUCUUAAAUUAUUGUUAGAUCUUAAAUUUCAACUGUGUACAAUAAAUUAGAUCUUAGAUUGUGGACUACCCCAAACUCGGGCUUCUCUACUUAGAUCUUCUACUAAAUAUUUGGGCUUCUACAAUGGGUUCAAUUACUUUCCCUCUCAGGGCUUUUAACUAGUUUCGGCAAUUCACAAUUGUAAAACUGUUGCAACAUGGCUCAUUCAGAGAUAAAGCCCAAUAUCAGUAUUGGUAAAUACACAAUUUUAUUUUUUACUUCUUUUUACACGAGUUUCUAGAAAUGAAUAGUUUUUGACAUGCAAACAAUUAGUCAAAUCUCUUGUCGAACAAAUUCAGUGCGAAAGCAAUGUAUACGAAUCAAUAGAUAUGCCCAGAAGAUAAAAUGACAAGUUAUCAUGAAACGAAUUUGAACCAGAAUAAGAGGAGCACACACAAAUGCUUCGUUAAGCAUAUAUGAACAAAACAAGGCCCCACAAAAGGAAUAAAAAAUUCCUUGGUAUGUGACAUAUCAGGGAAACCACACUAACUAAAAUAUUUUUACGACCUUGAACAUGUUGAAUAAUUUUUUUUCCUUUGAAAUUUUAAGAUAUACUGCAAAACAUUAUGAGUACUUGUAUAAGAUAUAUACACAAGAAAAAGAGCAUAAAAAAACAAACUACAAAAAAAAAGGAUUAUAUAUUAAAUGAAGUUAUAGAUAAAUUCAUAAUGCAAUGUCUCCUUUUUUUUUUAGAAUGUUUCUAUUUGACUUAACAACACCUUAAAAUUUUAAUAGAAUGCAACUUAACCGAACUAUUGUGACUCAAAUUAAAUUUAUUUUGGAAACAAAGCUAAAACUUCGAAAGUUACUGGAGAAACGAUUGGAAAACAAUAAAUUAAACAACUUAAUAUGGCAAAACAAUGAAACGUGAUUUUAAAAAUAAGAUUAAAGUAAUUGACCAGAAGAGUAAAUUAGGCUGAGAUGACAAAAACAGCGAUUAGAAAAAGACUAUAGAAGCGAAGCUGGUUCCUCGCUGUCGCUCCAAGACUAACCACCUCGACUAAAACUACUUCUGGUGGCAAUUUUUUAGCAUUUUAUUUAGAUCGUGGUUUUACGUGCAUAAUGGCUUUUGGCUCAAAGGAAAAAAAAAACACAUAAAAAUAUAUUUCGACAUGUGCAAUCAAAUCUUUGACAAAAGAGAUUUGCUGAUUUGCAAUCGCAACGUGAACUAUUAUAUAUUACCAUGGACCAUAAUGUAUUAUACAUGAAAGGUUAGUUUUUUUUAAUAUAUCAAUAAGAUAUUAAUUAAGAUUAACUAAAUGUAUAAAUAUCGACCGUUAUAGACAGAGUGAAAUAACAUAGAACUUUUUUUCACAAUUUUGACAUGAGCUCCAUGCGCUCUAAGACAAGCUUUUCUUUUUUUUUUGCUUGUCGUUUAUUUUUCUUUUGUUGAAAAUGUCUUUUAAUGUUAUAGUCUCUCCAUUUCAUUAUAUGUAUAGUUUCAGAAAUUUUCACAUAUAUUAUAUUAAGAAAAGAAAAAAUUGGUUUUUGUCCUUACGAUUUUUUUCAUUGAUCAAAUACUUAAAAUUAACAGAGAUAAAACUGAAACAAUAUUUUAAAUUAAAACAACAUUUAAAGUGUAACGAAGGAAGUAAAAAAUGUUUACCAACUAUAUUUGUCCUAUCUUUCUUAACCAAGCUAGCUUAUCUUCACUAAUUCAAAGUUGUCACGUUGUCUGUUUGAUUUAAUACUAUUUCGAGUAAAAGCAAAAGUAUCUUAUGGAAAUAUCUGCUAAUACUCGCAAUAAAUAUAUAUGGGACAAAUGUAAAGAAAGAUGUAGUAUGGUUUUAAACUUUUAAUAAUAACAACUAUAUAUAUACAUAUAUAGACAUUUUUAUCAUUAAAACCUUUUCACACCAUGCAGGAUGGUUCCCAUUCUAGACCGGUGACCCUAUAAAUAAUAUGAUAAUUUCCUUGACACCAUAUCACAACCAAAUUCCUUAGAGAAAAAGGAAGAGAAAGGUCAAAGAUGUUUUACUAUGUGAUUGUCCUUCCUUUAGCUCUCUUUCUCUUGGCUUACAAAUUAUUCUUCACCUCCAAAACGAAGCGUUUCAACCUCCCUCCCUCUCCACCUUACUCUCUCCCAAUCCUAGGCCACCACAACCUCCUCAAGCCGCCGGUCCACCGUCUCUUCCACCGCCUCUCCAAAACACACGGCCCAAUCUUCUCCCUCCAAUUUGGCUCCCGCCGUGCCGUCGUAAUCUCCUCCUCCUCACUCGCAACACAAUGCUUCACAGGCCAAAACGACAUCAUUCUCUCAAACCGGCCUUGUUUCCUAACCGCUAAAUACGUCGCUUACAACUACACAACCGUAGGAACCGCGCCUUAUGGCGACCACUGGCGUAACCUCCGCCGCAUUUGCUCCCUGGAAAUCCUCUCCUCGAACCGUCUCACAAACUUCCUCCACAUCCGUAAAGACGAAAUCCACCGCAUGCUCACGAGACUCUCACGCGACGUCAACAAAGAGAUCGAGCUCGAGCCGCUCUUGUCCGAUCUAACGUUCAACAACAUAGUAAGAAUGGUUACAGGGAAGAGAUACUACGGCGACGAAGUCCAUAACGAAGAAGAGGCAAAUGUUUUCAAGAAACUCGUCGCCGAUAUCAACGACUGUAGCGGCGCGAGACAUCCCGGAGAUUACUUGCCCUUCAUGAAGAUGUUCGGAGGGAGCUUUGAGAAGAAAGUGAAAGCUCUUGCGGAAGCCAUGGAUGAGAUCUUGCAGCGUUUGCUUGAAGAAUGCAAGAGAGAUAAAGAUGGUAACACUAUGGUUAAUCAUUUGCUCUCUCUGCAACAAAAUGAACCAGAGUAUUACACUGACGUCACUAUCAAAGGCCUAAUGCUGGUAAGAUAUACGAGUUUAUGCAAAUUAGUGUUGGUAGUACAUAUAAGGGAUCUAGGGCUGUUCAAUUAGUUAGGUUCAUUCAGUUUUUUUUUUGGUUUUCAGAUCUUCUGUUUUUUUGGUCAACUUCAGAUCUUGUGGUUCACAAAUAUAGAAACCGGUUGGGUUUUAAAAGUUUUAUAAUUUGGAUUUGAAGUUUUUCGCAAAAUAUAUCUUUAAUUAUUUUUUAUAUUAGGUAGUUAGCUAGGUACAGCUAUGAAAUGUAAAACCGAAUAGGUCUAUUUACUUUUAUUCCAUUUAGGGGCAUCUAUUGAUUUGAUUUAAGAUUAGUUUUACAGAAUUGGUGGUAUCUAUAGACCACACCAUACCGGAAUUGGUCUUGAAAAGUUAUUUCUUAGGAUUUGGGACCCAUGCGGCUGUCUAUAGUACGGACAAUAAUUUAUUCUUAAAAAGUAGAAACAAUUCUGACUAUUCCUAGUUUCCUAAUUCCUACUAUGUAGAAACUAUUCUGACCCAUUUUUUCAAAAUCGAUAUAUCAAUAUGGUUUCACAUUUAUACGGUUCUAGUUUAACAAGAUUUGUUAAUUAUGCGUAAAACAGGGCAUGAUGAUCGCCGGAACAGACACUUCCGCUGUGACGCUGGAGUGGGCGAUGUCGAGCUUGCUAAAUCAUCCCGAGGCUUUGGAAAAAGCAAAACUAGAGAUUGACGAGAAAAUCGGACAAGAACGUUUGAUCGAUGAACCAGACAUCGCAAACUUGCCUUACCUUCAAAACAUAGUGUCGGAAACAUUCCGAUUAUAUCCAGCGGCACCGCUUCUAGUACCAAGAUCACCAACAGAGGAUAUUAAAGUCGGAGGAUACGAUGUGCCACGUGGCACAAUGGUGAUGGUUAAUGCGUGGGCUAUACACAGAGAUCCAGAGCUCUGGAACGAACCGGAGAAGUUUAAACCAGAGAGGUUUAAUGGCGGAGAAGGUGGAGGAAGAGGAGAAGACGUUCAUAAGCUGAUGCCGUUUGGGAAUGGACGGAGAUCGUGUCCCGGCGCCGGACUAGGGCAGAAGAUCGUGACAUUAGCGUUAGGUUCGUUGAUCCAAUGCUUUGACUGGCAAAAAGUCAACGGCGAAGCAAUCGAUAUGACGGAGACUCCGGGGAUGGCAAUGCGUAAGAAAAUACCUCUAUCUGCUUUGUGUCAAUCUCGGCCCAUUAUGAGUAAGCUUCAGGCCCAUUUAAAAGGUUAGGUUUGUUUUCUUCUUAAAGUUCUUUUUAGUUUUCUGUUUUCUAUGCAUGGAGAUGUGAGAUUUUGCUGCGUUUGUGUAACGAAGGAUAUUUGUGUAAUGCGAACAAAUGAAAUUCCAAUGUUUUGCCCAUAUGUAAUGGUUUAUAAGAUUUGUUUCUCUUUAAUGGUUUCUAAGAUAGUUAGCGGGAUGAUAAAGGUUUGGAUUAACAAAACAUGUCAGAUAAAUUUCUACAGCAAGAAGAUGAGUAUAUUAUACAAAUAUAAUCAAUAUAUACAUAAAAUUGAUAAACUUCAUUUUUUUGUUUUGGCGAGGGACACUCAUUUCUCAUAUUGUGUCACCCAAAAGUCGAAGCUUGUGACAUGUCUAUUAGAGUUUUUAAGCCCAUAUAUUAUAAUAUGGGCCUAGAGCCUCCAUAGAUUUUUAAGAUCUUUAUUGCAAAAAUAGAUCACUAUUUCUGAAAUUUAAAUUUUGGUCUCAUGUUUUAAAAUUUAUAUAAAAACCCCAAACAAAACCUAUAUUCCAGAUUGGCCCUGCUUUUGAGUUCUGAUCUCCUCCCAUCUACGAGAGUUUUGUUAGAGACAACUUCCCAAUUUUGCAUUAAAAAAUCUGUACAUUUUUAUCUUAAAUGAAAAGAUUAUAUGAUUUUUUUUAUUAACAAUGCCUUAGUUCAGAUAAAAUAUCACAUGCAAUUACCUGGCAUCGGGCCAUCACAUAUUGUGUUGAUUACAAGACGAUAACACAUUUGCCAUUAAUUUCUUUUAGAGUAGUCAGGAACACAGUAAGCGACUGUUUUCUUAUAAUAUAGUAUCUCAGACUCAGACCAUGUGGAUUUGCUAGAGAUUCUCAACAAAUCAUAAAUACUUCUUUUGACUAAAAAAAUACUAAAAUAGGAUAAAAAUAUCUGAUAAUAUACAUUAACUAGUGACAUUCUGUGUUUACUACUAUUCAAAUACGUGUAUCAUGAGGGUUAGUAAUAUAUCAAUUAUUUUUUUAAACUAAUAAACACAAAUAUUAAAGAAAUAUUUUAAGAAUUCAAAUUUUAUUCAUUUAAUUACAAUUACAAUGUUGGUAAAUAGAAAUACAUUGGUGUAAAGUAUAUAUAUUUAUUCAAAUUUUAUUCAUUUAAUUAUAGAACUCAAUCUCCCUCCACCUCCACUCGAUCAUCCAUCUCUUUCCUUCCUCUUCACAUAUAUUUUUAAAAAUUUCUUGAACUAUGCUUGUUACACUUACAAAGGUAAUCUUAUAUAUUUUACCUAAGUAUUCCCAGUGUCGAAUUCUUCCUUAACGUAAUAAACAUUAUUAUUAUAUUUUUUCAAAAUAAUUUAAACGAUUAUAGUAAUUUAAUUCAGACAUAAAUAAUAAUAAUAAUAAUAAUAAUAAUAAUAAAUCAUAGUUCAUAUGUAAUAUGCACGUGUGCCUAUAUACAUAUUCGUGCAUAAUUUUGGAUUUCCUUAUCAUGUGCCUAGUUUUGGAGAUUGUUUUAAUUCGGACUAUAGAAAUAUAUAAAUCUACAUUAAUUUAAUAUGAUAAAUAUUAAAUUUUACGUAAUAUUAUGUUAGCAAAUAUGAAAAUAAUAAACGUUUAUUUGAAAAAUUAAUCACCCAAAAUAUUAUAUUGACACAUGUGAAACUAUUUUUUCAAUACAUCAUUUUGUGAGUUAUAAUUCUUUUCGCAGUUGAUUAAUUUUCCGUAUUUGUGAAAGAUGAUAUUCUUGUUUAUGAAGGCUUUUUAAAAAAGAAUUCUUGUUUGUGAAGUUGAUAAUCAAUAUUGGUAUUAUAAUAUAUGAUAUAAUAUAUAUAAUCAACGUCUAAAAAAAAGAUGGUACCAAUCAAGCAAUAUAUAUUCUUUCUUUUUUUGGUUAACGCCAAUAUAUCUUUCAUUUAUCAAGAUCUCUUCACCAACCGAAUAAACAAAUCAUGGUGACUUGGCAAUGAUUCAAUAUUAUAUGUCGGGUUAACUCAUGGAUCAUGUGACUUCUAUUAUAUCUCAUUUUCCAUAAUAAUACGGUGAUUCCAAUAAUACGACUAACAUGAUAUCUAUAUUAUAAUAUAUAUAUAUGGAUCAUUGCAAAGAAGACAUACACAACAUGCCAUAUUUUCUCCAUUAACAACUGAACAUACAUCAAAUAAACUUGGCUCAUUGUUAAAAUAGUACUUUUUCUAGCUAGUAUUCUAUGUUAUUUAAAUUCGUAAUUCACAACAAAAACGAAAUAUUAAUAACAUGAAAGCAAUUUGAAUAAUUAACUAUGAACUAUAUAUAUAUUAUGCAUUUAAAAAAAAUAUAUUAAAACAACCCACCACCGGUGAGUGCUCGGGAAGUUUGUGUACAACAACGGAAAAGGAACAAAAUGACCAGAAGAGAUUAGCAAGAUGGAUCAACAGGAUAGUCGGUUAAAAUCUCCCGAUUGGUGUGUUAUGCAUAAUCUAACUACAAAGAAGGAUUGAAAGACUCAAAAAAAUAAAAAUGUCGCUGAAUAAGCGUCAUGGUGCUUUCCAUUCUUCCAUCUCGAACACGGACACGAUAUGUCCCUCUGCUCAAUAUAAGAACACUCACUCAAACAAAAUAAAUGCUUACUUAAAAAAGAAUUAGUUGAACAAAAAAAAAAAAAAAAAAAAAAAGAAUUAGUUGAACCAAUAUUCGAACUCAUCUAGUAUACACAAUUUAUGGCUGAACCUGAUCUCUUUUGUCAGCUUGAGUGAGUUUGUGUGAAAUCUCAUGUUUUUCUCGUUUGAUACAAAAAAACAUUUAGAGGUAAUAAUCUGAUAGCCAACAAAAAAAAAAAAAAAAAAAAAAAAAAAAAAACUGAUAUGAUACAUGUAUCCAUGUAUGGGCUAAUCCAUGGCUUAUGGCGACAACUGGGCCACAUGCCUAAUGUUGCUGCUAGCGUCGUGGUUAAUUGGACCUGACGUGUAACAGGCUUGGCAGGUUUUUUUUUUUUUCAAUUUGUGUCAAGCCUGUGUUUUUUUUUUCCAAUUUAUUAACACCUCGAUACAGCAAGCAUGUGAAUGUGACUUGUUGCCGCCUAUUAGCACUACUAUCGGAACUUUUCCGGUUUUCCCACACAAUAUUUUUUUAAACGAAAGUUCCAUAUCUACCAUAUCUUUUUGUUUUGCUAAAAAAUUCUGAUUUGUUUUACCAAAUAAAGAGGACUAUUAAACUAAAGCUAAUAACAACGUAACGGGUUUUCAACACCCGGAACAAUCUGGAAAAAAAUAAAGAAUACCAAUUAGAAAGAAGUGGUGGAACCAUAUCAACCAUAUGUUACCCUAAUAAAAAAAUCAGUAUUCCUAUAAGUUAUUCAUAAUUUUAGGGUUUAUCAAAAUAAAUUAUUCAUAAAGCUUUUGUCAAGCUUAGGUUUCGGGAACACGUGAUUUACGUGUUGCCAGGUAAUAAUAGCAUACAAUAAUUCAAAGAUUUUCAAAGGUAAUUUUAAUCUAAAGGCUUGAGGGAGUCGUUGAUAGUGGGGGUUAGAUAAUCCUAAUGAACCCUUAGUUUCGUGGAGGUUGAGACGUAUCUUUAUCCUAGAUUUCACAGUACGAAAAUAAUUCAGUUUUCCAGUGGAUAUUUCAUUGUUCACUCUUCUGGUUUUGAUAUCAUGUUCCACAAGUCUUCCGAAUACUAUACAUCACAUAGUGAUCCAACUAUCCAAGAAUGAUGUAUUAACUCUGUAAAUUAAGAUAACGUUCUUUGUAUUUUAUAUGUCAUUUUAAGAAAGUAUUUUAUAUAUGAUUUGUAUUCAUUUUAAGAAGUAUACGAAGAGAGUUUGAUUUUAUUUUCCUCGUGACGAAAUUUGUUUCUGAUAAAUUUGAAAGAUAUGAUUUAUUUUCUGUCUUGGUAAGGUCAGUUAUCACAUUAAAGACUAAAUAGUAAAUUUUAUGUUUUUUUGUUUCUGAAUUAUUUCAGAAUUUCUUGUUUUAUUCAUUUAAUAUUUAAUAAUAUAUGUUAAAUGAUACUAUUACACUUUAGAAAAAUGUGCUUAUUUCUAUCGUACCAAACUUCUCUUUUUUUACCGAACUUGUUACUGUUUGUUUUGUGAACGAUUUUUGUUUAUAAAAACAUUACUCGUUUGUGAUAAAUUUAACACAUUUUUGCAUAAAAAUGUAUCAAUCAUAUACAAAUGAAACAUUACAUUUUUAGUCAUUUUUAGUCAAUAAGUAGACGUGUGUAUCAUGAUUAGUUGAUUUAAUCAUAAUUAUGAUAUUUAAAAUAAACAUAGUUUAAUGUUAUUAUGUUGGUUUUUAAUAUUUUUAAUUAACGUCAACCUAUUUUUUUUUAUUUUUUUUUACAUAUAACUAUGUUGUUAUGGAAGUCACUAUUAAUUUAACUGAUAAAAUAUACAAUAAAAUAGAAAAAACAAUAGAUUUUAAUAAAAGAAUAAAAAAUUUGAAGAUACAAAAACAGUUCCUUUUUCUUAAUAAAUCAAAAUCAAAGAGAUAGUGUACUGAAGUGAAGAGCCAGCCACUAUACGACAUACGUAUGUAAUUACGUUUUAAUAACCUGAUGGCAAAUAAUAAUAUAUUUUCGUCAAAAUAAAAUGGUCGUAUCUCUUUGCUAAAACCAAAAUGUCAUGAUGUGAUUACUCAAUUUUCUACUAUAAAUAGAUUACCAAAUCAUUCGAUCGGAGACAAUCACCAAAGAAAGAAGUACAAAAUGUUUAACUAUGUGAUUAUUCUUCCUUUAGCUCUCUUCCUCUUGGCUUACAAAUUCUUCUUUACAUCUAAAAAGCAGCGUUACUAUCUCCCUCCCUCUCCAUCUUACUCUCUCCCAAUCCUCGGCCACCACCUCCUCAUCAAACCGCCGGUUCACCGUCUCUUCCACCGCCUUUCCAAUAUCCAUGGCCCAAUCUUCUACCUCCGACUUGGUUCCCGCCGUGCCGUCGUCAUAUCUUCCUCCUCGCUGGCAAGAGAAUGCUUCACAGGUCAAAACGAUGUCAUUGUAUCAAACCGCCCUCGUUUUCUAACCUCCAAAUACAUUGCUUACAACUACACAACCAUCGCAACAACAUCUUACGGUGACCACUGGCGUAACCUCCGCCGCAUUUGCUCCCUCGAAAUCGUCUCCUCAAAACGUCUCGCCAACUUUCUCCACAUCCGCAAAGAGGAGAUCCAGCGCAUGCUAACGAGACUCUCACGUGACGCCCGUGUCGGCAAAGAGGUCGAGCUCGAGUCUAUCUUGUACGACCUAACGUUCAACAAUAUCGUGAGGAUGGUUACAGGGAAGAUAUACUACGGCGACGAUGUCAGCGACAAAGAAGAAGCAGAGUUGUUCAAGAAGCUUUUUACUUUCAUCACCACUAAUAGUGGCGCGAGGCAUCCUGGAGAAUACUUGCCCUUCAUGAAGAUAUUCGGAGGGAGCUUUGAGAAGGAGGUGAAAGCUGCAGCAAAAGUCAUCGAUGAAAUGUUGCAGCGUCUGCUUGACGAGUGCAAGAGUGAUAAAGACGGUAACACUAUGGUUAAUCACUUGCUCUCUUUGCAACAGGACGACCCUGAGUACUACACUGACAUCAUUAUCAAAGGCUUAAUGCUGGUAACGAAUCAAAAACAUUCAUAUGUAUUUUUAAAACAACGUACCUUCAAUAGAAUGAACAGCAACAUCAUUACUAUACAAAACCUUAGGCUACAAAGGUAGUUAUGUCUCUAAGGAUUUUUAAAAAUAUAAAAUUAUAUUUACUAGUUAUACAAAGAUUUUUAUAAAAGUUGAGCUUCUAAUUGGUUUCUUGCUUUUUUUUUUUAUGCACUCGAUUUUAGGUCUGGUUUAUUUGGGUUGAAAAGAUAAGUUAUUUCCACUAUUAUUUCAAAUUUCAGAUACAAUGUUUUAGUAUAGUUUUAAGGGUAUUCGUUUUGGAGCAGUUAAACAAAUCUAUGAUAUUUAAUGAAAUUUGUACGUGUAUGUGAGACUAGCAUGAAUCACGUUUUAAAAUCCUCUGUUUUCUCACUUAUGAUACAUGAAACAGGGUAUAAUGGUUGCCUCAUCAGAGACCUCCGCUUUGACAAUAGAGUGGGCGAUGGCGAGUUUGUUGAACCACCCAAAAGUUUUGGACAAAGUAAAAUUAGAGAUCGACGAGAUAAUCGGACAAGACCGUUUGAUCGAAGAAUCAGACAUAGCAAACCUUCCUUACCUCCAAAACGUAGUAUCCGAGACACUCCGGCUACAUCCAGCAGCGCCGGUUCUUGUGCCAAGAUCAACAGCAGAAGACAUCAAGAUCGGAGGAUACGAUGUGCCACGUGACACAAUGGUAAUGGUGAACGCGUGGGCGAUACAUAGAGAUCCAGAUCUUUGGACCGAACCGGAGAGGUUUAACCCUGAGAGGUUCAACGGUGGAGAAGGAGAAAAAGAUGAUGUUCGUAUGCUGAUAGCGUUUGGAAGCGGACGGAGAAUAUGUCCCGGUGUUGGACUAGCGCACAAGAUUGUGACAUUAGCGUUAGGAUCGUUAAUUCAAUGCUUUGAUUGGAAAAAGGUGAACGAAAAAGAGAUUGAUAUGAGUGAGGGUCCGGGGAUGGCUAUGCGUAUGAUGGUGCCGUUACGAGCCUUGUGUAAGACUCGACCCAUAAUGAAUAAGCUCCCGGCCUACACGAAAGUUUAGUUAUGUUUUUGUAUUUUUCAAUGGAAAAAUUGUUACAUUAUGUUGUGUAACCAAGACUACGAGUGUAAUGCGCGAAUAUAUUGAAAUAAAAUGCUAUAUUUAGCAAAAAUCAACCAAUAAAAGUGUGUUUAUUUUAUUUUAAAUCAUGAUUAACGUCAGCUUUUUCCUGCUAUUUUAAUGGGGUUAUGAAUUUUUCUUUCUUCAUCCAAUCUUUUGGUUGUCGAAAUUUUGUUUUCAGAAUUGAAAAGACUCACAUAAUGUAACAAAUACAAAAACUAAAAAAAAAAUUGAUGGAUUUUUUUAUAUGGCUACAAAAGAAGAUUGUUGGAUACGUAAUCGAAAAUGACGUUAUCCUUCAAGACUUGUUCUUCUUCUUCUCCUCGAUUAACACCAAAAUCCAUCGCCGGAGCAGGAGACGAUGCUUCUCAAUUCUUCCAUCACAAGACAAGUUACAGAGCACACACAACCACACUCUUCUUCAUCCUCGUUUCUCUUUCUCUCUUUGGUUUCAUCUCUCUUUAUUAUUCCCCCAACACGAUUUAUCGAGCUGCCUUCUUUGCCACGACACGCCCAGCUAAAUCAAGAUUCGUUAGUUACGUGAUCAACACUCAAGAUUCAAAUCAUCAUCAAUUAUCCAACGGUUCACGUAGGAUCAGAGCCGAAGCUGUUCUCUGGCCAGGAUGGGAGAUUCUAGUGAUCGUUUCACCGGAGGAGAAAGCUAAGCCACCGCCGUUUCCAGGAGAGAAUUACAUAUGUUUUUACCCUAACGGAGAGAAAUCCACGGCGAGAUUCGCCGCGAUUCUCCCUUUCUCAAACCGUGCAUCAUUCAGAUGCAGUCUUCCCGGAAUUUAUCGCCACCACCAUCCAAUUCCGACUCCGAUCCUCGCCUCUUCGAAAAGGUUCCAACUUUCGCCGGAAACACGUUGGCCUGAUCUCCCUCUAUGGAAUUUCGUCGUUUUCGAAGCCAUUUCAACAGAAACCGACGUCGUUCUCUUAGUCAAGGGGCCGAACCGUGGAUUAGGUUCCAAUAAACCACCGGAGUCGUUUCGGUGUGUGUUUGGUGAGGAGUCCGAUACAGCCAUUAGAACCGCCGUGACUAGCUCGGUCCAAGAGGUGUUCCGAUGUUCAUUACCGAACAUAACGAUCGAUACUCCGGUCAAAAUCUACCUUGAGGCGGUGGCAACCGGUAAAGAAGAGACAAAGACCGUCCCGUCGGUGGCGUAUUAUAGCCCCAAGCGCACGUUAGUGGAACCACGUGAGAAAUCGCUAUUGUGCGCGACGACGAUGGUGUACAAUGUAGCAAAGUAUCUGAGAGAGUGGGUGAUGUAUCACGCGGCGAUCGGAAUACAGAGAUUCAUAAUAUACGAUAACGGUAGCGACGAUGAGUUAAACGACGUCGUUAAAGGGCUUAAUAGUGAAAAAUAUGACGUCAUCAAAGUUUUAUGGAUCUGGCCCAAGACCCAAGAGGCUGGGUUCUCCCACGCGGCGGUGUAUGGAAACGAUACGUGCACCUGGAUGAUGUAUCUUGACGUAGACGAGUUUCUCUUCUCUCCGGCUUGGGAUAAACAAUCACAACCGUCGGAUCAGAUGAUUAGGUCUCUUCUACCGUCGGAUCAGAGCAUGAUUGGACAAGUGUCGUUUAAAUCACACGAGUUUGGACCGUCUAAUCAGACAAAGCAUCCACGUGGAGGUGUGACACAAGGUUACACGUGUCGACGAGAAGAAGAUCAACGGCACAAGUCGAUCGUGCGGCUAAGCGCGGUAGAGCACUCGCUUUACACGGCCAUCCACCACUUCGGUUUGAAGAGAGAGUACGAGUGGCGCGUGGCGGACACGGAGGAGGGAGUGGUGAACCAUUACAAGUACCAAGCGUGGCAAGAGUUCAAGGCCAAGUUUAAACGGCGUGUGUCGGCUUACGUGGUGGAUUGGACUAGAGUCUCUAAUCCUAAGUCGAGAGAUCGAACUCCUGGGUUGGGCUUUAGGCCCGUUGAACCGGAAGGAUGGGCUCAUAAGUUUUGUGAAGUCGAGGAUUUGAGAUUGAAGAUAUUAACCAGAAAAUGGUUUGGGUACCCAGUUAAAAACGGUUAUAGGAUGGCAUGGCAGAGAUGAUUUUUUUUUUUAUUAGAUGGGUUCUUUUGUUAAUAGCAUAGUUGUUUUGGUAACAGUUUUUUUUCUGUUUUUGUGAACAGGUUUGAAGUUUUUUGUUAGGUGAAAGUACGGAACUCAAAAUAGUUUGAAAUGUGACUAGAGUUAUUUUUGUCUAGUAAUCCCAAUGUCCCAUUUAAAAUAUCUGAAAUUCGGUUUCAAAAUAUAAUUUUUCUUCGUGAUACAAGACAAAAGUAAAGUAUAAAAAGGUACAUUCAGAGGCCUGGCUACCUUAUCUGUAACAAUCAUUGUAUUCUAAUCAAUGAAUGUAUUUUAUGAGUUCAAAGAAAGAAAGAAAAAAAGAAGAUUGGAAACGUACGUACGUAUAAGUUUCUGUGAUUUGGUGCGAUGAUAAUAGUUUACGUAAUUAUAAACCUUUUAACCAUCUUGGACCUCAUCAAUAAAAUUCAGAAGACAACAACUUCAAAGGAUAUGAAUAGUUGACUAACUGAAAACGUACGAUGAAGAAAAUGCAAAGCAAACAAAAGAAUGUUAUCAAGAGCGGUGGAAAAGAAAUGCUUUAAUGAUGUGAUUCAACAUCAGUACAUCACCAUACUCGUGUACGCAACUUUAAAAGUUGUCAAAAAAAACAGACAUGUGAUCAAAUAUGAUUCGCAAAUGCAUCGUACACAUGUGACAUGAACAAUUAUAUGACAGAAUUUUGUUUUUGUUAGUGACAAAUUUUCUUCUUUUUUUUUUCUUUCUGUAGCGGUAGAUUCCAAUUAGUAUGAUAAGAAACCACAUACAUAUAUAUACACCUUUUUUUCACGACCACAAGAAAAUAUAUUAUUGUUUCCUUCUUCUGCCUCCAACAUUGAUAUGCUUUCAAAAUUCUCUAAUAUGAGUUGUCUUACUGUUUAGGUGACUUUUGAUUCAAUAGAAUAAUUUUCUUUUAAAUCAAUUUAUGAACACCUCACGGAAAAUCAUCUAAGCGCAAUGAUGUAUGAAUGAAACGGUUGAAUAAUUCUUGAUUUUAUGUUUAAAAACAUAUAAGCACCUCGAUCGCAGCAAGCAUGGGAGUGUGAUUUGCACGUUUCAUAUAUUCUCCUAGUCCAAUUCUCUAAGAGAAAGAUAUCGAUCUAUGAGAUGAGUUCUAUUUAUUGUUCGGUGAGUUUUAAUUGAUCAAAUAAAUAACUUUCUUUGUUAAUUAAUUAAACACCAUGCGACUAUAGUAUUACUCCAUAUACAGAGAUGUAUGAUUAGUGAACACGAUUGUAGUAUCCUCGAUUUCUUUUUGUUAUCAAUUUCUUUUACACCUUGAUCACAAUCUGAGUGGUUGUUACUACUUAUUAGCACGUUUCAUAUAAAGUAAAUAAUUUUAUCAAUUAAUAAUACAUAUAUGCUUCAAGUUGAGAGCAAUUAACGCUGUCAAAACAACACAAACAAACAUUAACAAUGAAUUUUGGGAAGGUGUCUCUCAUCUAUGAUUGAUUUUAAGAUUUGUUUUUCCUUCUAUAUUUGCAGGAAGGAAUAGUUCUAUACAAUCAUCAGCUAAACUUCAAAUUCUUUGUAAUCGUAGAUGUUAAUAGUAAACUCGAAUAUUCCCCAAGUCAUACUAAUAAACAAUGAAAAUUGAAGAAAAUAAAAGUCAUAAACAAUGAAGAAAUAAACAAAUUGCAAUAUAACAAUUUCUUACAAUUCUCGACUUUUGCGCCUUUGAGACAUGGUCAAUUAAUAUUAUGUAUAGUAAUGGUAGUGGACGAGUGGUUGAUAUGUGAAUCCGAAUUUAAUCCCACAUCACGAAUUUGAAUGUUUUCGAAUUUCUAUAUUAAAAAGUUUUAAAAUGGUUGCCAAGUUGUAUUGGUUCGAGUAUCUUUAUUCCGAGACUAGCAUAUGGAAAAGAUUAAAGAAAGAAAUUCUAGAGUUUGAGUUUAGUAGCUUUAUUGGUGGAGUUUUGAAUUAGAUUGAUUUAUAUGGAAAACGUGAAAACUUGCAUGUGUUCGAAUUUCCAUGUGAAAGGUUAAAAAAUUGUUUUCAAGCUGGCAUGGGUUAAUAUCUUUAAUCUUCGACGAGCACAUAGAAACAAAUUUCAGAGUUUUUAUUUAACUUAAUAAUGGAGUUUUGAGAGAAAUGAUAAUCAUAAUAUGGAGAACUCGAAAUCGUAGAAGAUGUUUUUUGUUUUUUUCCUCUGGUCUUUUAAAACGAAAAGCACAACUUUCAAGUUCCACUACUAAUUGUCACGUUACAGAUAUGACAUCACUACUUUGAUUUGAGUAAAAUUUUCUCUAUAAAUAAAAGAACAAACAAACCAUAAGCCAAAUCCUCGCACAAGUAGAAAAAAACACAAACAUCCUGAAACUAGAAGAGAGAGACAAAAUGUUAUACUUCAUCCUUCUCCCUCUUCUAUUUCUUGUAAUAAGUUACAAAUUUCUCUACUCCAAAACGCAACGUUUCAACCUUCCUCCAGGACCACCGUCACGACCCUUCGUCGGCCAUCUCCACCUCAUGAAACCGCCGAUCCACCGUCUCCUCCAACGCUACUCCAACCAAUACGGCCCAAUCUUUUCCCUCCGUUUCGGCUCCCGACGCGUCGUGGUCAUAACAUCCCCUUCUCUCGCCCAAGAAUCCUUCACCGGCCAAAACGACAUCGUUCUCUCCAGCCGGCCGCUCCAACUCACCGCCAAAUACGUCGCAUACAACCACACAACCGUUGGUACAGCUCCUUACGGCGACCACUGGCGUAACCUCCGCCGCAUUUGCUCCCAAGAGAUUCUCUCCUCUCACCGUCUCAUCAACUUCCAACACAUCCGCAAAGACGAGAUCUUACGGAUGCUCACACGCCUCUCACGUUACACACAAACCUCCAACGAAAGCAACGAUUUCACUCACAUCGAGCUAGAACCGCUCUUAUCUGAUCUAACAUUCAACAACAUAGUAAGAAUGGUUACAGGGAAGAGAUAUUACGGCGACGACGUCAACAACAAAGAAGAAGCAGAGCUAUUCAAGAAGCUAGUCUACGAUAUCGCCAUGUAUAGCGGCGCUAAUCAUUCCGCUGAUUACUUACCAAUACUAAAACUAUUCGGAAACAAAUUCGAGAAAGAAGUUAAAGCUAUAGGCAAAUCAAUGGAUGAUAUUUUGCAGCGUUUGUUAGAUGAAUGUAGAAGAGAUAAAGAAGGUAACACAAUGGUCAAUCAUUUGAUCUCUCUACAACAACAACAACCUGAGUAUUACACUGACGUUAUCAUCAAAGGCCUUAUGAUGGUAAAAUUCUAUAAACUUCUGUGAGAUUUCAAUGAAGUGAAUUGUGAGAUUCGAUUUUAACCUGAUUGUUUUUGAAAUUGUGAAGUCGAUGAUGCUCGCCGGAACUGAGACCUCCGCUGUGACAUUAGAGUGGGCGAUGGCGAAUCUACUGAGAAAUCCAGAAGUACUGGAGAAGGCGAGAUCGGAGAUCGAUGAGAAGAUCGGAAAAGAUCGACUAAUCGACGAAUCAGACAUCGCAGUGCUUCCUUACCUCCAAAACGUCGUCUCCGAAACAUUCCGGCUAUUUCCGGUGGCGCCGUUUCUAAUCCCUCGAUCACCGACGGACGACAUGAAAAUCGGAGGUUACGACGUCCCGCGAGAUACGAUAGUGAUGGUUAACGCUUGGGCUAUACAUAGAGAUCCAGAGAUUUGGGAGGAGCCAGAGAAGUUUAAUCCAGAUCGAUAUAAUGACGGAUGCGGAAGCGAUUACUAUGUUUACAAGCUGAUGCCGUUUGGGAAUGGCCGGAGAACUUGUCCCGGCGCCGGAUUAGGUCAGAGGAUUGUGACAUUGGCGCUUGGAUCGUUGAUUCAAUGCUUUGAAUGGGAGAAUGUGAAAGGGGAAGAGAUGGAUAUGUCUGAGAGUACUGGGUUGGGUAUGCGUAAGAUGGAUCCUUUACGGGCCAUGUGUAGGCCUAGGCCCAUUAUGUCAAAGCUUUUACUCUAAUAAGAUGAGUAGAGGUUAAAAAAGAAAAAAUAACUUAUUGGAUGUAACUGGUAAUUAUCUUUAAGAUAAAGAUGAAUAAAAUGAAUCUUUGCCUCAUAAAUAACAAAUAAAUAAUAGAUAAUUUAGAUUCUUUUUAUUGUUAACUAAAUUAUCUCCAUAAAAUACUUUUUAUAUAUAUAUAAUUUAUUCCAGUAAAAUUGAGUUUAGGAUGUUAUUUUACUAAGAUGCAGUUUUCUUAUACAAACGAUUUCAAAGCUUAUUUUCCGAUAUAAAAAUUAAUUUUGCUUAAAUCCUCAAGAAUUUUUUUAUUCCACUGACGAAAUUUCCAGGCUUCAAAUCUCGCUGAAAUGAAAAAUAAAGUUAGCAAUAAGCAAAUAAUCAGUUUAAAAUACGUAUCAGAAUAAUAAAAUAACAUGAUUUUAAACUAACUAGCAUUUUCUAUAAGAUACUAAAAAUGUUAGCAAUUGCGUUUUAACGAAUGGAUAAAUUUUCAUUUUAACUAGUUACAUUUAAGUUUACUCUAACUAGUUACAUAAGAUUUAGACUUUUUUACAAUAAUUAAUAAUCGGAAUCAUGUCAAAACUGAAAAUUUUGUAUGUGAAUUGUGAAUGAUACGUGACUAAAAUGCUCGUUGUUGUUCUUUAACUGUGACUUUCAUAAAUAAUCAUUGUUAUCUAUAUAAAUUUACCUUCCGAGAUUGAACUAUAUCCAACGUCUUCUGGAAAUCUUCCUCUCGACGUUUAAGUUCAGCUAGUGAUUCCCACUGAUCUGGUAUUUCCAGGAAACGCCUUAAAAAAGAAAAUUAGAGAAACCAAUAUUAACGAUUUAUCCAAAAAUACAUUAUCCAUGUCUAUUAGAAAUAUUUAAUAAGCAUAUCUAUAAAAUAAGAUAUUUACUCCAAUUGUUUUUCCACUUCGGCCAGUCGUGCAUUGACUUCUUCGAUCUCAUCUUCGAUCUCCUAUUUUAAGAAAAAAAAAAGCAUGCAUAAGUACUUUAACUUUUUUUUGUUUAUAUACCUAUAUAUUGCCAAAUCAUGAGAUUUUUAUUUUAUUUUAAUCAACAUGCCUUUGGUUGAAUUAGAUAACGAAGCCCAUCGUCAAGACUCUCGUCACUGCACUUGGUUUCUGAACGCAUCUGCAUGACCAACCGUUGUAUAUUCUAGAUUCUCCAUACCAAUCAAGAAAAACAAAAAAUUUAGGUAACGUUAAACAAAAUCACUAUACGAAAAUCGAGAUGAAUUAACCGUUAGAUAGUUUUGAUUUUUUUACCGGUUCAUGAGGGAGGCUGUGUUCGAUCAGAUGGACCAACCGAGUACAAUAUCAGGAGUUCAUGCAUAUGUAUAAAAUAAGAAUAUUAGAACUCAUACAAUAAAAUUAAACAAACCUAUUACUUUAUGUUCUUAUAUAUAAAUGCAUGCAUUAACACAAUGAAUUUACCGUGUGCGUACAGCCCGAGCAAGAAACUUGCAUAUAAUCUCUUCGGGUCUAUAAUCAUGAACAAUAACGAUGAUUUGAUAUCAGAUGAUAGUAAUAAUAUAUAUGAUGAAAUAAUAAAAUAUUGGAGCUACAAGAAGAAGAAGAAAAUGAAAACGUAAUUUAUUAAUAUAAUAUACCUCUCUUUGGCAUAAAAGACGAAGAGUUUACCAGAAGGAGAGAAAAGAAUGAGAGCAACUGGUACAUUACAUAGAACAAAGAGUUCAUAAGCUUUCUUUAAAAGCCCAUUUUUUCUUUUGGCGAAUGCAAUAUUUCUUUGUUGCCUAUCAUUUAUUCUUUUAAUCUGUAUUUUUACUCUCCCCAUUUUUUCUUGUCUUCUUUUCACAAUGUUUUCUCUUUCUCAAUUAGCUUUCAAAAUAUUUUUUAUAAGUUUAUUUAUAUAGUUAUGAGAAAGAACUUUCUAUGGCUAAACUUGUAGAUUUUCCAUUAAAUUGUAUCAAAAUUACUAAUUACUUUAAAUUAAAUAAAUUUAUUAAUUAACAUAGAACCAUAAUCUUGUUUGUCAAUCAAAAGAUUUAGUUUUCUUAGUUAAUCUUUUCUUCUCCAGAUAUAUAAAUGGGUAUUAUCUAUUGCACAUAUAUUUUAUAAAUUGAAGUAAAUAAUUAAUAUAUUUAUAAUAUAAAGUAAAUGUUAUAUUCAUUAGAUUAUGAAUUUGGAUAAGAAAUCUCAUUUAUUAUGGCUCAGUGGCCCAUUUCAUCCCAUAUAUGAAUUGUGUUAUCAAAAUUUAUGUCCUGGAUGAAUUUUUUUUACCAAAUACUAUAUGUAAUGAAAUGUUUUGACCAAAUAUAUGUAAUGAAAAAAAUAAAAAAAAUUGGGUCAAAAGGGAAAGAAAUCCUUCUCUAGAGGAUAAUGGACCCCACUUGUGUAAGAUAAAACAGUCUCUCUCUCUCCCCCACAAGAAAAAGCCUCGACCACCUAACGAUAAUGGUGGCUAUGAGAUCUCCGUCUUUUCUCCGUCGUGUUUCUCACCGCCGAUUAUAAAAUACUUAUCUACUACCAUCUCCUUGUCGGAAACGGCGAGCUAAGUCGAUUAGGUAUUUAUUCCUUUUAUCUCUUUUAUCUGUUAAAGCUUUCUUAGGGUUUUUGUUUUUGUUGUUUUGCAUUUGAAAUUGUGAUCUCAUCGACUAUCAAGCUUCGAACUUUACAUUAGGGUUUUGUGUAAAUUCGUGUUCUUCUUCACUUUCUCUUUCCAAUUCGACGCAUAUGGAUACGUGAUGAAAGUUUUCGAAAAUUUGUUCAAUUUCAAGUUUAGUUCUUUAUGACUCUACUGAUUCCGGAUUUUUCUAGGGUUUUAAUUGAGAAGAAAUAAAAAGGAUAUUUUGGUAUGGAGGUGAAGGAAUCGAAGAUAGAUAUGGAUGAUUCAGUCAAUAAGGAGAUUGGGGAAUUACCAAAAGAUAUGCCUUGUACUAGUAACUAUGAGGACCAUAGUUUUCAUAAUCAUGUUGAAGAAGAUGUCACUGAGGAUCUUCCUUGUGGUGGUGAUGAUAUUGAUGCUGAUGCUUCUAUUAAAAAAGAGGUUGCAGAGUUCGACGAGGACGAGGUUGAUAUAUUGGAAUGCAAUGAUAACAUUGAGAUUCAAGUCUCAGGGUGUGAUGAUGGGACUGAUGGAUAUUCGAGUUCGUUUGGUGGAACGGAUUCUGAACAUGAGAAUGAUCAAGAAGUUGACUCCAUGAUUUGUAAUGAGACUUCACUUCCUCUUUGGGUGAGGUAAGCUCUUUCCUCACGCUUCUUAUUUAGUCUUUUAUCUUAAUGGUUUCCAUGAAGGUUUGUUGUGUGUUUAACCAAUAGCAGAAUGAGAAAAAAAUGUCCUCUUGCUUAAUUUGGUUUUGUAGAGAUUUUGAUGGUUUUGGUAGCUUGUGUACUUUUACUUUUUAAUUGAACACUAUCAGUUCCAUCUCUAUGUUGCUGGAUUCUUAAAAGACUGAAAUUUAGGAGUUACUUGGGUUCCUGUACUAAUGAGAAAAACGUCUGUAGCUUAAUUUGGUGUUGUAGAUUUUCAUGGAUUUGGUAGCCUUGUUUACUGUUACUUAUUAUUGAACACUAUCAGUUCCAUCUAUGUGUUGUUUGAUUGAUUCUGAAAGGACUUAAAUUUGUGUGUUACUUUACUACGACUUAGCUAGCUGCGUCUUUGAUUUAUCUCCUUUUAAGGAAGUCAGGAGAAGAAUUGCUCUAUAUCGUGAAUGGUAUGCGGUAAUUAUUAUGGUUUGUUCCUUUUUAUGGCAGAAAAAGGAAGCUGACUGAUCAUUGGAGGAGGUUUGUACAGCCUACUUUAAUGUGGCGUUGCAAAUGGAUUGAACUCAAAUACAAAGAACUUCAGAACCAAGCACAGAAGUACGACAAAGAAGUUGAAGAAUAUUACCAAGCCAAGAAGUUGGAGUUAGAAAAUGUCAAAUCAGAAGAACUUGGAGUAAAGGCUUUACCUCCUCUUCCAUGUUAUACUCAGAAAACCCGACUCAUGAAGAGGAAAACGAGAAAGCGAGUUGAAGAGACCGCUGAUGUUACAUCCUAUGCAUCAAACCAUAAUCUCUUCUCUUAUUAUGGUAUGGAACUAGUUUGGUGUUCUUGUCUUUCUGGUCGUGAUUAAUGUUCAUCUACCAUUACUUGUCUAAUAAUUUCUUAUCUUAUUGUUUCUGAUCUUUGUAUAGAUUGUCGGAAAUCUUUGGCCGAUAUUGCUCUUAAUGACAACUCCCGCAACCUAGGUAUGGUGUUCUAAAAUCUCAACUAUGAUAUGAUAUUACUCCUUUUGAAAACUUUGAUCUUAUAAAAUAUUUUCUGUCUUGGGUCAUCAGAUAAGAAGAAUAAGAGCGCCAAGGAUGAGACAGCUUUCUCUGAAGAGACACCGCCUCUCGAGUUUAGAGAAGGCGAUGCGUACUUGGAACAGAUACUUUUGAAAAUUGAAGCAGCAAAGUCAGAAGCCCGUAACUUGAAGAUCCGCGUAGACAAGGUUUUGAGUGAAAAUCCAAGUAUAUUCCCUCUGGCUAACACAGUGAAUCCACUUGGAGCUGCUGAUGUAUACACCAGCUCAGAACAACAAAAGCCCCUGCUGGCUAUCAAAAACGAAGAUGAGAAAUCGAUCAUCUCUGAAGAAAAACCGGUGAAAUCUGCUUCAGUUUCAUCUCAUCACGUCUCACCUGAAGACGACGAGACAACAGAUAUUUUACUGUCUGAGAUUCUAGCAUCAAAGCGAAGGGAAGGGAAAUCUAUUAUUCCCGAUAAGAAUCUAGUGAAGACAGAACAAGCUUCAAUUGAGGAAGGUCCAUCAAGACCUGUAAGUUUUCCGCUAACUCAGUGUAACUUUGCUAAACCCUUUUGGUCUCAUAUGCCAUUCUAACACAACGCAGGUAAGGAAAAGAACACCGCGCAAUCGUGAAAUCAUUACGAAGGAAGAGAGUAACCCAAAGAGGCGUCGGGUUUCAAGAGAGAAGCCAAAGUCUAAUGCUGUGAUGGCUUCUAGGUUUUCCAACAGGAAGAGAAAGCGAGGAAAACGAAGGUCAGGCUCUGCCGGGUUACGAAGAAGAUCCUGAAGAAGGUUUGGAAACUUUCAAGUAACUAAUCGGAUCUUGUGUUAAAAAGUAAAAAUUGUUCAUUCUAAGAUAUUCUUAACUCUUAAGCCUUUAAAGUACAAAGAAAUAUUUAUAGUGGCUGUGUUUUGAUUCUUCAUGUCAACAAUAUAUUCAAACUACAUCAACUUUUGAACUUUACUUCUAUAAUUUAGAGUGUAUAUAUUUUUCUCUAUUUUGUAUUAUCAAUCAAUCAUGUUUUAUAUCUUGUCGGUGCUAAGUUUUUUUUGUUUGGAAAAGAAAGAAAGCUUAGUUAAAACACUAUUUCAAAUACAUUCGUCUAGAGAGUUUGGCAGAGACAAUGGCUAAAAUGGUGACCGUAGGGACGAAUAUAACAUCAGGUAUAAGUUUGAUUAAUUUUAACUGAGGAACAUUCUCUCCUGCUCUCUUAGCCGCCAUUGCCGCCGGUGGAGAUACUAUUCCGGUGAUCAUAGUGACAUCAUCGAGUUUACUUGGCUUCACGCUCUUUGACAUGAACUCAAUGAACAAUUUUUUCUUCUCUUCUUCGUCUUUCGCUUCCUUCCACCGCGCGAAACAAACCUGUUUAGAUCAUUCAACAUUGUGUUAAAAAUAUAGAGAAAUUAUUAUAAGAUUCUUUGUGUGAUUUUGAUAGAGGAGAGGACUCACCUUUAUUUGGUCCGGGGUUGGGAAAUCGAAGUGCCUGCCUGGUAAAGCCGAGUUGAAGUUGCUGCACUCAAUAGAUAAAAUUCCUUUUAAAAAAAAAAAUGUUGGCCAACAUAACCAUUGUUUUCGAAUGAUCAAAUAAUGAAACAAUCCUUACUUAAAGAUGUCUAAAACAGCAACGUGGAAAUCGUCGAAGUUGUUGAUAGCUUUUUGGGUAAAUUGUUUGUAGAGUGAACCCAUUACCAUAUUCAUCAUCUGCGUCGGUGGUACCCCUAGGCCAAAUAUCGAAAUCUAUUUAGAAAGAUAUAUAGGACGAAAAUUUGUCAAAACGGUUAUAUAACGAUUUGAGUCGAUAAUUGUUAGGUUAAAAAAUUGCAAAACCUUUUCCGAGAAAGCCCAUUGAACUACCCAUAUUGUCUAGAAGUUAGUCUUUAGGAAGAAGAAAAUGUUAUGUUUAUAUACAAAUUUGUAUUGGUGUGUGGAAUCAGAGACUUGGCUUGGUGGGUUUGUGUCUUUGCAAAGCCAAGAAUCUUGAAUCUCUACACAAGACCUUGGUUCAAGUAUAACUUGUGCUUUACUUACAAAAUCUUAGCCAUUUCUUCACAGUUGAGUAAUGUACUUUUAAUAAAAGCAUGGGGAAUAUGACUUGUCCUCUAUUCUCACUUUCUUUUUGCCUACCAUAUUAGAUAUCCAUUAAUUUUUUUCUUUUUCAAAUCUAGUUCUCUAAGGAACAAGACAAAAAUAUGAAUCUAGCUAUUUGAAAGGUACAAUAAAAAGCAUUGUAUUAUAUGAUUGGUUGGAUCUAUACAUGUUUAGUAAUAAAUUUUAGACAAUUCAUUUAUAGCAACUUGGCCACUUGAGUUGGGUAUCAGAUAUGAAUUCAAUAAAUAUUUACCAACUUCACAUUAUAAAAGACUAAGAUCCAACUAAGUAGCUGACACUUUCAUUCUCGCAUAAUUAUACUCCAAUUGUAAAUAUUUGUUUAAAGAAACACAUGUAAUUGGUUUCAAACGUAAAUAUCAACAUUUGAUUUACUAACACUUUAAACAUUUAAAAGACUAAAACAAAUUAUGUAACUGCUUUGCUUAUUGUUACAUAGACGUUACUUACACAAACAUUUUAUUUUAGAGUAAAUGUCCAUAAUUCUGCAUUAAAAUUGAAUGUGUCAUUUUCAAUAAAGAACUCGGACCCAUCACUAAAGGACUUUUGUCUGCAAAAGAAAAGAACAAUCAAUGUGUAAAACAGUAUUUUCAUCACUGACAGAUAUGAAUUCUUAUUAUUUCCAUAUAAAUAAAAUAAAAGAAAACAAACUGUAUAAUCAAUUAAAUAAUACUCAUUACCAAAUUCGUAAAGAAAGAGACAAUGGUAGGGUCAAAAAUAUAAAAACUAAAAAAUAUCAGAGGUGAAAUGAUAAAUAAUUUAGAAUGCCAUAACGAGAACGGCCCAUGCGGUUGCAACCGCUCCCACCGCUACAUUCCUCAACACCCUUGUGCUCGCUGCUCCGCUCUGCAUUCAAUUCCAUAUUUUCAUUUUAGUUAAUCGAAUAUGUAAUUACUAAAUCAAUAUAACAAAAAUUGAAAAUCUAUGUUCACUGUUUUGAAAUGUCUCAUUGGUUAUUUUUAACAUUGAUACUCGAACUUGUGACGGUAGAUAAAUAUCAACAUUGUUGAUAUAAGCUAAUGUACCUGAUCGUCGGCGGAAGGACCGGGAGAAAAAGCGUCGGAGUUAGGUCCGGGAGAUUCAGUCGGUGGUGCAGGUGGACCGAGAAGUUCCGGAGCCGGAGCAGGUGCAGCUUGAUGCUUUUUCGAUUUCUUUGUAGUCUUCUUAUGCUUGCUUGGAGCAGGAGCCGGUACAUCAGCAACCGGAGCGGCUACCGGAGCUGGAGGAGAAUCAGCUACUGGUGCUGGAACCGGUGGAGAGCUCACUGGAGAAGAAACCAUUGGUGCAGGAACCGGAGGAGAGCUCUCUGGAACAGGUGUCGGUGGUGGAGACGACUCGCUAACAGGAGCCGGAGAUUUUGGUGACUCAACCGGUGAAGAAGCCGAAGCAGUUGGAGUUUUCGCCGGAGCCGUAGUGGGAGAAGUAACGGCGGGGGAUUUAGUAGGGGAAGUAGUUGGAGCAGAAGGAGUGGUGGGAGAUUUGGUCGGAGAAGAGAUAGGAGAUUGGCCACCGACACCGGCGACGACAAUGCAGAUCAAUGUAACUGUUAGGAGGAAAUUGCGAUCCAUAAUUUUGUUAAAAUUUGGAUCAAACAAAAAAAAAAAAAAGAGUUUGAACUUUGAAGUGAUGGUUAAAGUACUGAUGGAGUUUAACCAAGCGUGUUGUUUGUUUGAUGUAAGAGAAGUGAGUUUUAUAUAGGCGAUGAGGAGAGAUCUGGAUCGUUGGAUUAAAAAAGGAUCACAGACAGAUGUAGCCGUUGAGAAACAGAACAUCAUAUCCUGUAUCUAUUAAUGUAGGAUUCAAUACUUUUUUCAUUUUUAUUUUACAGAAUAGCUCUUUUACUUUUUUCUUGUGCGUUUUUAUAAGGAUUUUUUUUUCUUGGCAUUUUUCUCCUGUUAUAUUCUGCAAUAAAUUUAUUCGCCAAUGGUGGGUAGAUUAGCAUGUGUUUUGUUGAACAUAUGAUCAGAUAUAGAAAAUCAAUUAAUAGUAAUUGUUUUUACGUUAGACAUUAAAUUGGUUAUACUAUAAAUCACUAGUCUUGUGUCAACAUAAUAAUUGGAUUUGAAAUUGAUACCAAUGUCGCUCACAAAUUUUAUCAUUGUUUAAUAAUUAUGAUAUUUUAUAUUAUAGAUUAUAUCACACGGUCGAGAAAUUUCCAACUACUAAAUUGUCGGGAAAUUAUUAGUUAAAAAAAUAGCACAAUAUAAGGUACAUAGUAUAAUUGAGAUAAAUUUUUGGGGUACGACACAUGGAGUCUUGGAUUAGUAUUAUUAUGUGAUCAUCACGGGUGAAAUUAUUAUGACUUGAUGCAUCAUGCGUCUAUAAAUAAAUAACCUUAAUAAUGAAAAAUGAUUAAACUCAAGUUCAAUAUAAUGCAAUCAAAAUAAGACAAGGAGAAUGAGGAAAAGAAAACGUAAACAAAAAAAAAGAGAGUCUUUGAUCGGAAGUUAGAGGGAGAGGACAGCUGGUUGAUUGAUUUUGCCACUUUGGAUUGGUGCCCACACGGAUUUGUUGGCACUUUCUUCUAUUUUGGCUCGUUUUAAUCUAUAAUUUGUUGCCACCGUCACCGUAAUUGCCUGAAUACUCUUUGGCCUUUUUUCAUUCGAGUCGAAAUGGAAUCAAAACCGUUGCCAAUGAAGAAACGUAUUGCUUAGGAGCUACGAUUUUGAUUUCUUUUUGUUGCUUCUCACUUUGUUCCAAUCCUUCUUUCAAUGACUUUAUGUAGAAUAUUGAAAAGUAUUCAUAAGCGUUUCCUUAUAUUUAUUAUUUUGUGUUUUGCCAGACUAGGAGAAAACACGUUUCGGUCUUAAGCCAUUCUUAAUACUUUUUUUUUUUUGAGUUUUUGAAUAUAAAGACAAUGAGUAAGUGGAAAUUCUGAGAGCGGCGCGUCGGUGGAGAGAAAGCCCAAGCUAAUGGUCGUUCGUUGACUUUGUUAAAGACUUUGACGAAUGAGACAGUGAGUGUUAUAACGAUAAUAAAUGAAACUCGAAUCUUGUAAUCAUUUUUUACUAUGAAGCAAUUAUUUUGAGAUUGAUUUCAGAAACAUGCAACGGUUAUAUGAUCAUGGUAUCAAUGCUGUCAAUCAGAGCAGACAGAAGAUUGUAUUAAAAAAAGAGGUGUCAGAAUAAACUUAAAACAACAUAAGAUCGGCCAAGGGUUGUAAACUCUCAUGUUGGAACCUCUCAUGUUGAGACCAGAGAAAUCAUAUUUAGAUACAUUAUUAAAUCUGUAAAAUUAUAUUAAACACGAGAGUUAAUAAAGUUAAAACCCUAACAAAGCUUUUCUAGCUUUUUUUUUGUUUUUUAGAUCAGAAACAGACGGAAGAUGUUUGACUGAAACACAAGUUUUCUUACUGCUCAUGGUUUAGUUAGCCUUCUUCACCUCUUAUGAAAGAUUGUGAGAGAGACACAGAGAGACAGAGAGAGAAGGAGAGACAGAGAGAGAGAGAUUUGAAUCUCAAUCGUUGUAAGUGCUAAGCGCAGCAACAACCGCUCCUGUUGUCGAAAAAGCCGAGGAAAUUUCCGUAUGGUCUCUCCACGACGUAUUGAUUUUCAGGGACGGGUAUAACCAAGACUUAACCGAAUCAACAAAGGAACCCGGUUCGACAUUAAGUAUAGCUUCCCAAUCGAUCUGUAACCCUUUCGGGAUAGUCUCAGUGAACUCCAUAUUAGCAGCAAGCAGAAGUCCAAGUAACACUACAAAUCCUGUUACAGCAGUUCCUCGAGCUAAUGGCAUAAAAUUGUACCUGGUAAAAAAACCAAUGAUUGCUAUUAAAUACCAACAGCUUCCGAGUAAUUAAUCAAUCAUACGUUAGGUUGUCAUAGUCGUUUACCAGUAAUAUGUCAUGCGUAAGAUGGCGUCUCUAACGGUUUCUAAAGCGUCGAGCUCAGUAGAACCAUAGUUCUCUCCACAAUAGGCAGUGCAUAAAGCCUGUGGAUUCAGUUAGACUUUUGAGUUUGUUUUCUCAGAAACAAAAGAAAUACCAAUUAUUUGCAUAUGCUUAGGUCUUACCUCCCAAGCUGAGGUCAUUUCUUCAUCAAAGUCGCUCCACCUUGCAGGUGUACAUGGAGUUCGAAUUGAAAAAUCAUACCCCAGCCUUCCCCUGGAUAAACACGAGAGAAAUUUAUUGAAGAAAGUGGUGUGAUUAGGAUUUGUGUUAAUCACAUGCAACAAAAAGUAAAAUUUACGGUUUUUGAAUGCAGGUGAUUCUAGUUCCUUCGAGGCGUUUCCUGAAGAUAUGAACAAAGAAAGCAAAAUCAACAUAACAGAAAAUCUUCAGUGAAGAGAAUUACGGGACAAAUCAACAAACCCACCCUUCAGAUCCGGUACUGUCGCACCAAGUAGCCACCCAGAAAUCCUCACCAACAAUAUUGUGUAGCUCAUCACACGUUUCAGCACGCAUUAUCUGCAUCUCGUGAGGAAAUACAGUAAGAGAACAAUGAUAAAACGAGUAUCAUUCACGCGAGAAGAAAGAAACACUGACUUUUUCGAUCUUCUCAUCUUUAGAAAGAUCAAUAACUUUAUCUUUCUUGCUGCGUACAGAGAGUUUAUCCUUGAUGAUGCUCUUUGCAAGAGUCAGGGUUCUGAAGUAACAUAUUAAAAACUGAUCAGUCCAUGGACUGAGACAAAAUCAUAUUGAAUACAUGAAAAAAUCUCAUGUUUUCUAUUAUAUAUGCUUACCUUUCAUAAUUUGGGAAAUAGCGUACUACUUUAGCUUGACCGAGUACCAUUGGUGUAUGAGAACCAAACCCAGAAUUAAACUCUUCACUGCAAUCAGUAUAAACAAUCUCAACUACCCAAGUAAUCAAAUGAAACUAAAGUUCGGCAAUUGAAGUUCUACUUAAACAUAGACUCGCAGAUGCUGAGCCUGCAAGAGUCACUAGACAUCAACCAUUGACAUAUCAUGGGAAAUGGAACUUGUACCUUAGUUUGUUAACCCACACCACUGGGUCACAAGGCUCUGAAAUUUGUCUCCAUCUGACAGCAGGGGAAUAAACGUCUUGCCAAGACAAGAUAGAGCGGCCUGAUGAUCUAUCUUCUAGUGAGGCAUAUCCAGUUGAAGUUUCACUGAAACUGCUACUACUACACCCAGCACCACCUCUAUUCUGGCUAAGAAUGUUGGUUCUCUCUCUCCUCCGGUUUUUCUUUCCAUUUUUUGUAGUGCCUUUGGUUGAAUUCCUCCACUCUAUGCGCCAAGCUUUGGAAACUUUUUGAGCAAUCUCUAUCACAGCUAAUCCUGCCAUACGGUGCUGUAAAAUCAUGGAAACACAAAUAAUCAAUGGAAUAGAACUAUGAUACGCCUAUUCGUGUAUAGAGUAGACAUCUAGUGAUUAAAUGCAACAGGAACCUUCUGGCGCAAGAAAUAAAGAGAGCUGCUAUGAGGUUUAAAUGUACUACAGGGAAGAAGAAAUUAACCGAAAAAAGAAUGUUGAAAAGGUAGAUACUCCAAAAAUUUGCUGAAAGUCACCUGGCGUUUGUUUGGUAAGAAUCCAGGACAAUCAUAUUGGAUCCUCUUGCCUAUUAAAUCAGCAAAACGAAGAAUAUUCGCCUUCUGUUUGGUUAUUGCAAGAUCUUGCUUUUUCAGUUUACCCUUCUUAAGUGAUUCACGUAGGGGAGGUUGUCUGUAAACCUUUUCACAUACAUUUUUUGGGUGUAAUCUUUUGCACCAGUACUCCUGAAAAAUCACAAGAAAUUAAAAGCCACGUUCACCACAUAUAAGAGUGGAAAAACUCAAAAAAGCAGAGUGACAGUGCAAUGAACUCUGAGAUCUACUUUCUAAUUUCCACCUAGAGCACUUGAAAGCACUAAUAAUCAUCUAGUAUCUCAAAACGAAAUAAAGGAUCAAUUCAGACUUGGAAUUGGUUGAGCUAUUUGAUACUUAAUAUAUAUUGUUUUUUGUUAAUUCAGGGUAAAUCCCUGAACCUAUGGAAGGGUUCAGGAGAAUCAGGACUAAUCCCUGGGGAGAGGGUAUCCCAUGGGUAGGGUCCCCCCAAAUGUUCCUUGAUACUUAAUAUUGAAGUCACAUUUUAAAGACAUUUAAAUGUUCCUUUCCAGCACAUUCAGUAUACCCAGUUAAACUUGACCAGUUUGUUCCCAUAUAUUUCUUUGACACGCAAACAAAGUAAAAGUCCGACUUUGUGGCAACAUUAGAAAUAUCAAGAGAGAGAGAGAGAGAGAGAGAGAGAGAGAGAGAGAGUUAUCACCUUGAACAUUGGGUCUAUGUCACCAUCAAUAUCAAAGCAUAAAAACUCACUACUAACUUUGGAAGCUGUAUACAAGGCAAGCUCCUUCUGCAGAAGAAAAAAGAAUAACUUUAAGUGUUAUUGUGAAGGAAACGUUUAGGGCUGCUACGAAACCUCCAAUUUUAUUAGAUAGACUGAUAGAGGGAGGUUUUCAUUGUUCAGUGUGAUAGUAGUAAUAAACAAACAGAGAAUCAUUACUAUCAGAUAAUAAGGCCAUGCUUUUACAACAUAGUAUUGCAAUAGCCUAUCAUUACAAGUUGCUACAAACAACAGUGUAGAAAGAAAUUAGUCUUGCAGAUAAAACUUCAAAAUCCAGUCAAGCUAAGUUAUUAACAAAGAAAACGGAACCUGAUAAAACGCCAAGCAUUGAAGAACAAAUUUCUCCACUGCAUCAAGUUCCACGUCAACUGUUGCAUCAUAGUCCUUCACCUGUGAGCAUAUUCAAGGCAAGUAAUAAGAGAGUCUCCUUUAAAACUAUGUAACCAUAAAGUUAACAAACAAAUAUUCACCGCAUCUCUAUACUCUCCUACGGCGUGAUAGCAGGAACCUCGUAGGUACAAGCACUCUAUUGUGUUCUCAAUGCUCAAGCCAAUAGAUAAUUCUUGGAUAGCCUUCCUGAGAAAUAAGAUCACCAAAAACAACUACAGGUGAGUAAUAUCACUGCUUUAAAGACCAGCCUUGUACAUAAAUACCAAGGUGUAUGACCACCAAAAGAAAAGCUUCCUUUUAAAACAUCCUUUUGCUCAAACGCAGAUCUUUAUCACCAAGAGUCAGGGGAAGUAAUCUUAUCGGAUAUCACAUUUUAAAGUAGACAUUGAGAUAUCCUUGGAUCCCUCAUGAACAUUUAAGGUAACAUGCACAUCAACAUAGACAAAUUUUCCCCUUUAAACAAAAUUCAGUUUCCAACAAUCCUAAUUUACCCUAACAGAACAUACCUGUGUUCGCCUAAUCCAUGGAACACUAAUCCACGCAAGUGAUAGGCCUUCCAAACCCUGGUCAAGACAGGAAAAUUGCCAUGAGUACGAUGGAAAAGCAGAAAUAUAGUGCAACACGUGGUAUUGCAUCCCAAAUAAGAGCUACCUGUUGUCGACUUGUAGAACCUGCUCAAUGCAUUCCAAAGCCUUGCAGUGGUCGGCCAACUCUUGAUAGAACUGCCAGGAAAUGCCAGGAAAUAACCAUCGAGUACAGUGAAUAAAAAGGAUGAGUGUAUCAUAGGUAACUGAUUUAAGCAAUAGACUAGGAUGAACAAUCAAAAUUAAAGAUAUAAGAAACCAAAUAAUCAAGUAAAGUUGGUCCUUCAGAAAAAUCUUAAUUAGCCUUCAAAAGUCAUAAUUUAAGCUUUCUUCAUUUUGAAGUCUCACUAGCUUUACAUAAAACUAAUGUUUAUUCACUAUUACAUGCAUGAAAACACCAAAAAAAAAAGAAAAAAAAAAAAGCAAUGGUUAUAAUCCUAUUUUCAUCACAGUUCAGCUUAAUAGUUGAAAAUUCAAUAGACAAAGCAUAAUCUCAUACUAUUUAUUUUAUUAUUUGUGUGUUACCUGGGCGAGAUGAAGCCAUGCUUCAAGAUAAUUACUAUCCAAUUGGAUGGACUUUAAAUGCGCCUCUUCAGCUUUUUUGUAUUCACCAAGAGAAGCAAAUGCUAGUCCCUGGAGAGAUCAACAAAGUUUUACUACGAAAACAUUUGCGUCCAUGGUUACUUUGGAAACCAAGAAUAACGAAUAACAAUAGAGAAUAGUCUUACCAAAUAAGUGUAUGCAGACUUGUUAUCUUUCUCUUGCUUCAGACAUAUAGAUAGGUCCUUCACAGCAGCAGUGAAGUCCUUAGAUUUGAAAUUAACAAUACCUGAAUCCAUUGUGAAUGUCAGUAGUACUUCAUGGUUUUUCACCAAAGAAAUCAUGUAUUAAGAAAUGAAAACUGAAAUAAGGCGCAAGAUUUUAAAAGAAACACUGAAUAAAGACACUUACCCCUUUCGUGCAAUACAUCAGGUGAGUUUGGCUCAAAAACAAGUGCUUUAGUCAAAUCUUCAACCGCCUAUCACAAAGGGUAUUUUAAUAAAAGUGUUGUACAAGAAACGUUUUUGGAUUUUUACCAAUAAAACGCAAGCACUAAACAGGCUUAAACACAGACAUCAAUCAGCGGAUUAUCCAAAUUAUUUGAUAUCAAUCAGACAAUAUUAUUGAUUAACCAAUAAAUAAUCAAUAAAUGUGCAGGGCGAACAUUAGUAACAAGCCUUGUAAAGUACAUUAAUUGUUUAUGCUUUUAGCUCUGAAUUAAGAAAAGAAGCAGCGAAUGGAAUCACUAACCUCAACAUAUUCCCCAAGAGCAGCACGAGCCUGUCCUCUCCGCUUCCAGGCCUCACUUGCUGCUGGGUUAGAUUGGAUAGCCUGACCAUCAUCAUCAUAGAAGCAGAAUUGGUGAACUUAACCCACUGUGGUAACAACUCUUGUCAAAUAUAUGAAUACCUUAGUAAAAUCAGCUAUAGCACUUUCAAGCUCUCGUUGGAAUGCAUAAGCUGUCCCUCUUCCUAUAAGUGCCUCAGGGUAAGUUGGUUCUUCUUUCAGCACCUGCACAUAGAUAAACUAAAUAGUAAAAAAAUUGACCCAAUAAUGUUUUCCCUAAACAACCUCCGAAAAGAAGAUAAACAGAGAAAAAAAUAAGCAAGAGACACUCGCCAGAGAUAAAGAUCACCAAAUCACCUUAUCAAAAAUAGAAAUAGCUUUCGUAUAGUUUCCUUCAUUCACCUGUUGACAAAACAGAAGCUCAGUCAUCAAAAAUUUGGAAGCUAUACCUUAUAGCUCUUUUCUUUUCCUUUUUUUCUGUGUAUUGCUAUACCUGUGCAAUGCCUCUAGAAAGUCGAAAAUCCACACUUAUGGAAUGGGUUCCCGAUAUUCUUGCUAUGGUGUACUUCUUAUUUUUCCUGGAUUCAUCACUAAUUCCGCAACGUGCCUCAGCUUUAUGGCUCAUUUUGCUAGACUUAAUACUUAUCUUGUUUCCAUUAAUCGAUAGCUCCCCGAACCGAUCGGAACUUUCAGCUAAAUUAUCAUGCAAAUCAGAACCAUUACAAGGUUUACAUGAUUCAUAAUAACCAUUGAUUUGGCUGCCACACUUUCCAUUCUCUUUUUCCUUGUACACUGAUCCGUUACAUAAGUCGGAAUUACCAUCAGAUUGCUUGCUAGCCUUGGAUGCAACUUUUGAAAAGCUUACUAUCUUUGAUUGCUCGCCCAAUUCGCUAGAUGACUCAUGUGAGUUCCCAUUGCUACUUGCUCCUGAUUCAUGGUUGUCCAGCUUGUCACUUUUUUCAUCAGACUUCUCACUAUGAUAGGCAGGGGUCUCUUGCGGAGACUCGGUGGCAUGACUUUUUAAAAUCCCAUCAAUUUCUCGUCUUGCAUCUUUUAAGAGUUCUUCUAAUUCAAGUAACUGCUUCACAUCUGCUGUCUGCUGCAACGCACUUUUAUACCCUUGCUCCAAAACAAGAACAGCUUCCUGUUUUCUCCCCAAAGCCAAAAGAGCGCGUCCUAGAUGGAAAAGCUGAUACACUUGAGUUCACAUGCAGUAUACCAAUCAAAGUAAACCAUGAUCCGGUAACCAUAAAAAAUUCCAUCCCCGAUAAGAUAUAUAACUUAACAGAUAUUCUUAAGCAACCAUUAUAUCGUCAUAACUAGCAGGCACUAUAGCAUUAUCUAAACCCCUAAUUCUAGUUCUGAAGCUAUCCCGAGAAUCAAACUCAAUUCCCAGAGAAACUAUGAAGCACUCAAGUCAAAGCUUGGAAGUGAACUAACCUUUGAGAAUAAAAGCUUGAAUGGCAAAAGGUUCAAGCAGAAGUGCCUUGUCACAGUCCUUAAUCACAUGCUUGUGAAGCUCCAAUUGAUUAUAACAAAACGCUCUAUUGCUGAAACCAAAUUCCCAAUUCAAAAAAAAAUACUGAGAUUAACGGGAGAAAAAUCAUUGAUACCGAUCCGGAGAAAUUGAAUGAGAGAACAAAGAUCUCGAAACCAAACCAUAUAUCCAAAAUUGAAGACUCCUUAGCAAGGAGCGAAUCGAGAACUCGGAUCGCUUUAGACCAGUUCCGUGAACUGCAGUGCUUGGCUAACUCGAAUCGUUCCGAUGUCGCCGUCGCCGUCGCCAUUUUUUGAGCGGUGGUGUCUCCGAUGGAGAAAUCAAUCGCCUAUUUAAUCUUUCUCAAUUUUAUCCCUCUUCUUCGUGGCCGUCGUGUCACGGGAACGAUGGGUUUAGGGGUAAAAAGGGAAAUUAGUACAGUGGAGAAAAUGGUAAAGAGAGAAGACUUUGACGGAGAACGAAACGGGGAAGAAAAAAAAGUAACGGGGAAGAGAGAGAUAGUAAAUAAAAAAGUAACGGAGAGAUAAGAGCGAAGAGACGAUGAUGGUGAAUGUGAAUGUGAUACUGGUGGUGGUGCUUGUGGUGCUGCUGCUGCUUCUCAAUAAGUGGUGCUAAUCAAAUUUUGGGGCAAGAGUCGCACACGUAUGAAGUUUCUUGUCACGUGACUUUUUGUUGUGUAUAUAUGGGCCUAGCCCACUUAUUAUUUAUUACCCUUUUACAAUGGGCUAGCUCUGUUAAUCGUCUUGCCAAAGAAAUUCUAAGCAAAUUGAAGUUAGGUGUGUGACUGUAUUGGAGAACAAAUUUGAAGUAUAUAUAUGUUCUCAAUUCUUUCAUGACUAUGUAAACAUUUAAAUUGUAUGACCUGCAAUGAAUUUUAAAAAAAUGGAAGUUUAAUCAUAGUAUUUGACUUUUUUUUUGGGUAGGCUAAUCAUAGUAUUUGACUAGUGAUGAAGAAAUAAUAUUGUACCAAAUGAUAUUUAAAUUUCAAUAAUAAAAUAAUUUUAAGAAAAUAAAUAGAAGUUUUAUAUAAAGUGAAUUAUAAAAUGGAAGUUUAAUCAUAGUAUUGACUAGUAAGAAGCAAUACAAUAUUUACCAUUUUGUUUUGUAUCACUAAUUUUUUAAAGCUAUUUACUUACCAAUCUAUAACUAAUUUCAUAAACAACAAAUCGAAUAAAAUCUGAGCAGGCGCGUCAAUAAAAUUUGAAAGUUAUUAGUGAUAAAUGAUAAUAUAGAAAACAAUAUCUUUUGCACCGCAUCCCUAUAAUAACAUCAAACAAAUCCAUAAUUUCAUAAGCAAACAAACCUAACAAAAUAUGACUUAACUCCAUCCUAAUUCAAAACCCUAAAUUUUCAUUUUACUUUGUUUAAAACUUGGCUAAUUUUUGUUCACAAACAAACAAAUUUCAAAACCAUCACAAUAUGUAUGUUUUAUGGUUUGGAUUACCCAUCCAUAAAUGCAAACUCAAUGCUAAUUCCUAGUAUCACAUGUUAAUUACUCUUCACACAGUAUAGCACAAGCACUCUUGCAAAGUUGCAAUAAUUCACUAUGGACCAUCAAUUACGAACAUCACUAUUACAUCAAGCAAUAAUGAGCUCUGAGCAAAGCUGUGGACAAAAGACAGAGACUUUUCGUUAAACAAGAUAAGAACAACAAAGAUCAAGAUACUCAAGAUAAACGAAUCAGAACCAAACGACAACGAAAUAAUGUUCUCAAUAGACUAGACAGACAUAUCACAUCAGAUAUUUUUUUUCAACUUUUCUUACAUCGUUUAAUAAUUAACUAAUUAAAUCUCUUACAAUCACAUAGCAAUGUCAUUACGAAUGUGACGGAGGAUGACAGGAAUAACAGAAUCUGGUGAGCUAAGCUGAGGAAGAUGACCAUCAGAAGGAAUAACCUCGACGACGGAUUCACAGCCAAGAUUGGCGUGAAGAUACUCGGAGACAACGACUGGUACAGCUAAGUCCUUAACACUUUGGAGAAUGUGACACGGAACAGUGACAAAAGGUAAGAUCUGUCUCAUGUCACUUUGGAAAAUGGUCUGGCCGACGGAGAGAGCUAUGUCGGGACGCAUAUUGAAGAGUGUUCUGCUGAAUUCUUGAACGGCGAUGGAGUCCAUGUCGCCACCGACGGCGAGUGGAGCGAAACCUAAGCACCACGCUUUGUAGUUGCUUCGGAUGGCUUCGAAUAGUUGGUUUAAGUCUUCUUGUUCGAAUCCACCUUGGUAAUCAACAUCGUUUACGUAUCUAUAAACGUACCAAAACAAUAUAAUUUGAUUAUAUAUGUUUCUUUUGUCAGAAGAAAAUUAAAAUAUAUAAUAUACUGUGUGAGCACCGUUUCAACAAUUUUUUUUAAAAAAAGUGUAAGUAACACCUCAGUAAAACCAAAUAAAAAAAAACAAAUAAACAAAUGGGUAUUUCAUGAUUUUUUGUUCAUAAUUUACGGAUUUUUAUUGAAAUAUAUAAUGAAAUGCUUCACUGAUUUUGAGAAAUAGGAUAAUUCAGACAAGAGGAUAAACAAAGAGGCACUUUGUCGAAAUUAUGUCAGAAUGAGAAAUAAAUAUUUCGAAAUAAUAGAUAAUUGUGUAAAUUUAAGGACUUAAGAUGAUUUUUUUUUAUUUAAAUUGUAAUGUUUAAUAGUUUUUAUGAAAUCAGACAAGAGAAGGAACAGAGAAGCCCUUUUGUCUAAACUAUGUCAGGAUGAGAUAAAAAGCAAAACAUAUUUCUAUGUACAACUUGUGAAAAAGUUAUACCUCGGAGAAGCAGAGAUCAUGACGAUUUUGGAGAAGAGAUCAGGACGGUUAAGAGAAGCCAAGACACCAAUCAUGGCAGAAACAGAGUGGCCAACAAAGAUACAAGACUCAAUCUUGAGAUCUUCCAAGAUUGCAAUCAAAUCGAAAGAGUAGCCUUCGAGAUUUGAGUAACGAUCGAAGUCGAAAUAGUCAGGGUUGGUCGUACCGGCUCCCAUGUUGUCGUAGAGGACGACGCGGUAAUCGUCGACCAGAUGUGGAACCAAGUGUUUCCAUACUGACUGGUCCGUGCCGAACCCGUGACCUAACACGAUCGUGGCUUCUCCUGAACCAAUCACCUUCACGUUGUGAGCUUCUUCUACCACACCCAUCUCUCUAAAGAAGAUUCUUCUCUGGUUUUCUUCUUGGUACCUCUCUUAGUCAGUUCGUGGAGAAAUUAUGAUAUUUGUGUUGUUUUAGAGUGUUACGUAUUAUUCUUUAUAAAAAAAUUCGUAUCUGUGGAAGAGGAAAUAAAUUAUUUAAAAUAUCGCGAUUUACAGGUGGCAAAAAAAGGUGAAUGGAACCAUGUUUGUUGGAUUGUCAAACAUCGCUAUUCGUGAUAAUUUGUUUUUUGGAAUCAAGCCCAAAAUAUUUUGGAACAUUUAAUGGAGUACAUGACGUGGAGUUACUGACUUCUGUUCAACAAUAAAAUUGUUACAUUGGGUUACAAAUACAUGAACCAAUUAUUUUUAAUUUUGUGCAUGAAUUUCAACAAUGCAUUAAUGCGAAAGAAAAUUAGUUUCAAUCAUUCAAAGAGUGGCAGCAAAUAGUCAAAAGCUGAUAUAAUUAUUAUUUUAACAACACUAGUUAAAUUUCGCAUGUAUACAACUUGCAAUGAAUAUAGCAUCUAAAAACCUCAUAAUAUUUGUUUUUUUCUGCUUGACUUUAACUUGUCAGUACUUUUCGAUCAUUUAGAAGUUAGAAGACAUUAAUUAUUCAUGGAAUGCCAUGGUGAGUAUACGACCACGUAUUCACAUCCACUUCCUCAUCAUUUUAAGAGUCAAAAAUAUCUGUGAGAGGAUCCUGGCCCAUUAAAAUUCAAGGCCCAUUUAGUGUAAUAUGGCUUCAUGUUCUCUCUUUCCUAAGACCGUUUUUACUGUUGACCAAUAAAGUCUGAACUCGUGAUGACGUGGCGUGAAAUCGAGAGACCCACGUGUCAUCGGCGUGCCGUUAUCCUCUUUCCACUUCCGGUCUCCGUUCCCACCUGAGUAAACCAUACUGGUCGUGAAAUGACGAUUCUCGCCGGGUUGAUACGCCGGCGUUUUAGUAGAUUAGUUCCGGUUCAACUGAAUUACGGUUUCGAACCGUCGCGAAUUCUCUUUAACCCGAGUCAAGGAAGAACUCGGUUGCUGAGCGGCGAGGCUGAGUCCAAUCGGAACGAGUUUCCGGUGGAGAACGCUUACGAUAUCUUGAAUGUCUCCGAAACCAGCUCAAUCGCAGAGAUCAAAGCAUCAUUUCGCAGACUCGCCAAGGAGACUCAUCCUGAUCUGAUCGAAUCCAAGAAAGAUCCAUCAAAUUCGAGACGAUUCGUUCAGAUUCUCGCUGCUUAUGAGGUACAAUGAAGAAAGCUUCAC
This 62624-nucleotide long non-coding RNA is filed under the name Arabidopsis thaliana (thale cress). RNAcentral describes it as "long non-coding RNA (ATHA_LNC000327)". The record is from RNAcentral. Lineage: Eukaryota; Viridiplantae; Streptophyta; Magnoliopsida; Brassicales; Brassicaceae.